This 55082-nucleotide long non-coding RNA is filed under the name Triticum aestivum (bread wheat). RNAcentral describes it as "long non-coding RNA (TAES_LNC017326)". Lineage: Eukaryota; Viridiplantae; Streptophyta; Magnoliopsida; Poales; Poaceae. The record is from RNAcentral.
UAUCCUUACCUGAGAGCAUUGAAGAAUCAACACUAUUUUAUUUUAAAGCAUAACAUAAUAUUGGUCAAUUCCUUUUGAUUGAUCAUUGCAUAAAAAUCCUUUAGUGAUCAUAUUCAUUACAAUUAAAACAUUUAAUGAUUAAAUGUGACGCCUGGAUAAUUAAGCUACAAUAAUCCCUCGCUAAUGGUGCCAUGUCAUCAGCAUUACUAUUGCUAAUCCUCGCUUGAUCCAAAUCUUAGUUCAAACUCAAAUUCAAAUUAAAGCCCAAAAUUCAAAUUUCUCAAACACGCAAAAUAAAAUGUUCAAAGUGUGGAAAAUAUUCCAUAACUAAUUACAGUGGUGACCCAAAUUUUUUAUAAAGUGAUUAAUUGCACUAAAAUAAAUAAAACAUUGGCUAAAAUAAUAAGUUAAAUGCUUUUAAAAUUUAUAAAAACGCUAAACUAUUCUUUUUAAACCUCAAACUAUUAUUGGCAGUGGCAUAAGUUACUAGUGUUGAAUUAGGGACUAGUGUUGUAUUUUGUAAAACUAAAACUAUAAUAAAACUAAAUAGAAAACAGAAAAUGUAAAAAGAAAAGACAAUGCAGAGUAAAUAAAAGGAGAAAGGCCCCUGACCCCCCUGGGCCUCGACCCACCCCCACCCGAGCCGGCCCACCUACCUUUCCCUCCCCCACCGGUCGUCCUGUUCCUGCGACCGCAUCGCUACAGGGACGCGGUCGCCACCGAACCACCUCGUCGGCGCCGACGCUGGGAGGGGAUAAGGACGACCCCUCGGGCUCCCCCCUGCCACUCCACUCGCCCCACUCCCUCUGGACGCUCUCUCUCCCUGUUGCCCUCUCUCUCACGAGAUCCCACCUCACCGAGCACCAUCGUCGUCGCCCCACCUCGCACCACCACGGCGACCGCCUCCCCCGCGCCCCUCCAGAGAGCCCAGCCGCUCCGCCGUCGGCUCCUACGACGGCCACGGCCACCAGCUCGCGCCAGGAUCCCCUGCCUUGUCGGGUCCGCGUUGUCUUCAACCUCUGCACCUGCCGGCGAUAUCUCCGUCGAAUUCGGCGCUGUCCGGCCUUCCCCGAGCCCGGUGAGCCCCUGCCUUCUUUCCCCCGCCCCUCUCGUCGACGUUCGUACCCGUAACCGUCAUCCCCGCUGUGGCCGAGCCCUCCGCCGCGUACGCUCGUCGCCGGCGUGGUUUUGGUGACCCAUUGGUCACGGGCACAUGCCAUUCGCUUUGUUGGCCCGCGUAGAUGCCGUAGGUACCUCGCGCCGUUCAGUUUGCACGCCGUAGUCUAGAUUCUGACGACGCUCGAAGUCUAGCGUCCGCUGCGGUGGUCGCCGCCGUGCCUACUGCCCUUUGCUAUCGCCGCUCCGUCCGCGCAGCCCGCUCCACGGCUUCGCCCGCCCGAGUGCUGCCCGUGGCCGCUUCCCCCGCUUCGCCUGACGCGGCCACCGCCCCCUGCUGCGUGCUGCCGCAGCCGCCACGCCCCGCCCGCGCGCCCGUUUGCGCGUGGUCGCGCCGCCGCUCGCGCCCCGAUUCCUCACCCUCCCCCCCUGGCUCUGCUUAGCCGUCAUCGCCGUGGCUUUGCUCUGUCUGCGCCGUUGUCGCCGGCAACCCCGCCCGCCUGCGCNNNNNNNNNNNNNNNNNNNNNNNNNNNNNNNNNNNNNNNNNNNNNNNNNNNNNNNNNNNNNNNNNNNNNNNNNNNNNNNNNNNNNNNNNNNNNNNNNNNNNNNNNNNNNNNNNNNNNNNNNNNNNNNNNNNNNNNNNNNNNNNNNNNNNNNNNNNNNNNNNNNNNNNNNNNNNNNNNNNNNNNNNNNNNNNNNNNNNNNNNNNNNNNNNNNNNNNNNNNNNNNNNNNNNNNNNNNNNNNNNNNNNNNNNNNNNNNNNNNNNNNNNNNNNNNNNNNNNNNNNNNNNNNNNNNNNNNNNNNNNNNNNNNNNNNNNNNNNNNNNNNNNNNNNNNNNNNNNNNNNNNNNNNNNNNNNNNNNNNNNNNNNNNNNNNNNNNNNNNNNNNNNNNNNNNNNNNNNNNNNNNNNNNNNNNNNNNNNNNNNNNNNCUCACCGACCGUCGUCGCCUCCCAUCGCCGGCUGCCCCACUCCGCCGCCCACCAGCUGCUCUGCGCCGCCUCUGGCCACGCCCCCUCCGGCCCCAACCCGCACCUCGCCGGCGCCCCGCCAUGCCCCGGCCGGCUUCGCCUGGCCGCGCCCGGGUCUGCCCCGUCGGCUGCCUGCAGCCCCGUCUACCCGUCGCCCGCUAAGGCCCCAGAGGCCUAUGACAACGGGGCCCCACGCCCCUUUUCCAAAAAAAGAGUUAUAAAAAUAUAAUAAUAAAUUAAUUAGUUAGUUAAUCAAUUAAAAAGUUAAUUCACUAGCUAGUUAAUCUAUAAUUCGUUAAAUGUCUCAAUGACACGGGGGCCCACCCCCUAUUGACCAGUCAAACGUUGACUGGUCAACUGGGACCCCCUGGCCCACCUGUCAGUCACUGUGAACACUUUGUGUACACUGUGUUGGGUGCAUCUAGUGUUUUAGCAAUUAUUUUUGAAUUAAAAAUAAAAUCAGGGUAAUGUUUAAACCUUUGAAAAAUCAUAUAAAAUAAUCCGUAACUCGGAUGAAAAAGUUUUAUACCUGAAAGUUGCUCAGAACGACCAGACGAAUCCGAAUAUGCUCUCUGUUCAUCUGUCACAUGCCCCUAGCAUAGAAAACAUGCCACCUUCCCCCUCCGUUUCAUCUGCCCAAAAAUGCCAAAUUUCGGGAAAACUUUCCCGGAUGUUAUCCCCCUUCGUCGGUAUCGUGUAGCAUUGCGUUAGAACACCCCUAGCUCUGCGUAUCGCAUUGUCAUGCUUAGUAUUGCAUAUUUUUUCUUGUAUUUAUUGUUUCUUCCCCCUCUUCUUCUCCGGUAGACCCCGAGACCGCUGUUGAUGUCCCUGUGAUCGACUACAUCGACGGCGACCCUUCUUCCCUUUCAGCGGAGCUUCUAGGCAAGCCCCCCCCUUUGAUCAUCCCGAUAUCGCCCAUUCCAUUCUCUCAUGCUUGCAUUAGAUUUUGCUACUGUUAUUGAUUGCUCUUAUUCUGAUGCAUAGCCUACUUUUGUAAUCUGCUGGUGUACCUUACCUGCUUAUCCUAAACUGCUUAGUAUAGGUUGGUUAGUGAUCCAUCAGUGACCCCCACUUGUCCUUGUUUCCCCUGCUUCAUGAUCGACGCCUCGAUCAAUGUGUUCGAUGACCAGAGCCUGACACCUCACAUCACAUCACGCCCCUUUAGUUGCUCGACUCUGCAGAGCUACUAUCGAGUGCCGAGGGUGAUCCCUCAUAACGCACUCCUCAUGAUAAUUUUGUAGUGUAGCUAUUCGGUCGUGGUCAACGGGGGUGGUUCCUCUUUCACCAUUCCCGAUACGGCUCUGUCGUGCAACACCUCAAGUGUGAACCUCGAGGGUGGAUCCUCUUACGUUCGCCUUGAUGAUUACAUCGAGUGGAAUCCUCCGUGGGUGAUUCCUCGGGUUUUCCCCUUGAUGUUUGGACACACGGUUACCUUGACUUUAUUUGAGACCAUUGUUGAAGUCGAGUCGGCCCUGAGGGGUACCUGCGAGUUGAUGUGAAAGUCGGGCGGGCCCAUGGAGCACCCGCGAGUUUUCUAUGUGGCACGGCCGGGCAGUGUGGGCCCUUGCCGUAAGUCCAUGAGACGGGGCGACGGGGUCACAUUAUCGUGAGUCUCUGCUCAUCUCCGCGAGCCCCCAAUGCACUAACAGGUUUGGGUAUUUGUUCUGAGUUGGCCUCUGGCCUUUACGCACUAACCACCACGCGAGAAUAGAUAUGGGCCUCGACGUCGCAGUAUCAGUCGAAGCUUUGUCAGACGUCCAGUUCAGCAUUGCGGCACGGUCGGAUCGUGCUGGCCAUCCGAGGCGGUGCUGGUAUUCACCCUGCUCGCAACGACCCGGAGUGCAACGGGCGAUGGGCCCAAGACCCCGGGGCACUUAGGAUGUAGACCGGCGAGGACCUCUCUGCUGAGCCUAGGUAGGGCUGCGACGUGUUGAUCUUCCAAGGCCGGGCAUUGACCCCAGAACGGUGUGUCCAGCCAGAGUGAUCGAGCGUGGUGGGUAACGUGGUGCACCCCUGCAGGGAAGAUAUAUAUUCGAAUACCGUGUCCACGGUAAUGGACGUUCAGACUUGUAUCCGGAUCUUAUAUAACUAGAAAUGGAUACUUGAGAUAUGUGAUGGAUAUGUGGCUCCGGGAUUUCUUUCUCGUAGGGAGUCGAGGAAGGAUCUCUGGGCGUUGAUACUACAACAUGUUUGUUAAAUAUAAACUACUAUUCUUUACUCUUCUACGUGCUGCAAGAUGCUUGGAGCUGCUUGAAGAUGCAAUCUUCGAUAGGCUAGGCCUUCCCCCUAUUCUAGCAUUCUGCAGUUCAGUCCACAGAUACAGCCCUUCCAUUUGAUACCAAUGCAUACUUAGUAUAUAUCUGAUACUUGCGAGUACUUUGGACGGUUGCUUUGCUACCCCUUUUCCCCCUUCCUUCUUUCCCGUUGAUGCAACCAGAUGGUGGAUCCCUGGAGCUAGAUGCCACCCCCGAGGGUGCCUACUACUACGUGGAGGCCGCCGACGACCAGGAGUAGUUAGGAGGUCCCAGGCAGGAGGGCUUGCCUCUUUGAUCGUGUUGCUUUUGUGCUAGCCUUCUUAAGGCAAAACUUGUUUAACUUAUGUCUGUACUCAGAUAUUGUUGCUUCCGCUGAUUCUUGUGUUUCGAGCUUCUGUAUUCGAGCCCUCGAGGCCCCUGGCUUGUAAUAUGAAGCUUCUAUUAUUUCUGUUUGUGUCUAGAGUUGUGUUGUGAUAUCUUCCCGUGAGUCCCUGAUCUUGAUCGUACACGUUUGCGUGUAUGAUUAGUGUACGGUUGAAUCGGGGGCGUCACAUUAAAUCAUGUAAGAUCACAUUGGUUACAUCCAAAUCCUCUACUAAGAACCAUGCCUUGGGGAAGUGGUCUUUUUUUUGAGGAAUGCAGAAGUAGUCAUUUAGUCCAUAUAUAAUAUGUCAUGAGAGAAAGCAACUUGCUUUGGGCCUCUUGGCCUUUACUAGAAAAUGAGCUAAUCCACCCAUCUGGCUUUUCAGGGCCAAUUUUGAAAUACCUAGUACUAAGGUUCUAGCGCGAAAGUUGGAGCAGUUUUAAGUUACAAAAUUGACCAACCUACUCAGCGCAACUUUGAGUGCAUAUUUGUUUUGAGCCCUGUGAAAAUCUCACAUGUAGCGCUCAUUGUAUUUAGAACAUGUAGAACCCUUCUUAAGCUCCUUGGGUCCCUAAUACGUCCAUUUUGCAUCACUAUUUCCUACCAUGCAUUUCUUAAUUGUAAAAAUAGUUUGCACACUAUGUCUUAAUUCUUAUACCCUUUUCCCUUCAAUUUUGAAUUUUGCAACAAGGAUGGGGAAUUCUGGAAAGUUGUAAGAAAGGACCAAAAGAAGGCUAAAUGAAGAAAAUAUUUUUUCCUCGGAUCCAUAAAAAUAUGAAGUCCGUAUGCAUGAACAUAGAGCUAGUGGGCAAGGUCCAGGCCUAGGGGUGGCUUCUGGGCCCAUCACACCUACCAAACAUGCACAAGUCCUAGGGCCCAUCACUUGGCCACGUGGGACCCACAUGGACCCCCUAGUCCCCACUUUGACACCCCUGAUCUUAUACCCGGGAGAAACCCCUGGCCUAAUUAUCUAGAAUUUUUUGGCCGCCAAGGCAGAACAUGGAGCACUUUUCCUCCGUCAGAGGGCUGAUUCUGCCAAGAUCAACCCCUCCACACAGGGAAAUGCAAAGUCAUCGUCAUCACCGGUGCUGAAGGCAUCGCAUGGAUCAUCUUCAUUCACACCAUCUUCAUCUCCAACCCCUUUCAAUCUAUGAACAAUUGUUAUAGAUUAGUUAUUGUGAUCACUUCACGGUGUUAAUUGCUUCUUAGUAAUUGCUGCUUUGAGAUUUCUUAGUUAAAUAAUCAUAUGUUCAGGUUGUUAUCCAUAUCACUACCCUACUGAUCAUGUUUGUUAUGAUGUAUUAUGACUUUAUGAGUAAUCCAUUAUGUUUUGAGGACCUAGGAGAAACCAUGUUAUUAGUGACCAUGGGAGGUUGCAUAAAGUUUAAUGUUUUGAUAUUAUGUUGUGGUGUAAUUCUCUAGUGGUGAUGUGCGAACGUUGACUUAAUGUCAUUUCAUGUACAUGGGCCUAGAGGAAUUUAUAACAUGUUCCCUAUAGGUGUACUUCCUAUAUAACAUGUUCCCAACCUAUGUUAUGAUUUGGUAUGAAUGUUUGAUUUAANNNNNNNNNNNNNNNNNNNNNNNNNNNNNNNNNNNNNNNNNNNNNNNNNNNNNNNNNNNNNNNNNNNNNNNNNNNNNNNNNNNNNNNNNNNNNNNNNNNNNNNNNNNNNNNNNNNNNNNNNNNNNNNNNNNNNNNNNNNNNNNNNNNNNNNNNNNNNNNNNNNNNNNNNNNNNNNNNNNNNNNNNNNNNNNNNNNNNNNNNNNNNNNNNNNNNNNNNNNNNNNNNNNNNNNNNNNNNNNNNNNNNNNNNNNNNNNNNNNNNNNNNNNNNNNNNNNNNNNNNNNNNNNNNNNNNNNNNNNNNNNUGCUUAUAGUUAUGUGUCGAUGCUGCUUUGAGAUGCUACUAGUGAACAUAAGAACAAUACCAAUUUCCCUGCAUAAGAAAAACUCUAGUAUAAUUUCAUAUCCAUUUUUAUUUCCAAUAGACUAGUUUAAAAAUGCAAGAAAUAUACUUCUAUGCCCAUAGAGAAUUAUAAUAGGCUUAGAGGAAAACUCAUAUGCAUGUGUAAAACUAUAAAGGUUCUAGUUUUGCCUCUAGGACUAGCUCAAGUGUUGCAUGAUGAUUAUGUUUUCCUGAUCAUAGGUAUUAGUUAAGUGUAACGAUGAUGCCGACAACAUUGAGGGCAUGAUGUUAAAAUGAGAUGUUAACGUGUGAACAAUUCCUUAGACCAUGAGAGUAUUGAGUCACUUCAUAUUGGACGAUGCACUUUGGGGUUGUUCUAACGUCAACCAUAACAGAGUGAUCAUAAGGACAACUUACAGGCUCAUCGAAAACGUAUCAUGGGACUAGAUAGCUCAAGACUGGAAUUUGCUCCUCCGAUGAUGGAGAGAUAUUCUUAGGGCCCUCUCGGUGUGACAACACCCAUCAUCGUCUAGACAGACAUAGUGUGACUUGCUCAUGGCCAGAACACGAUAAACGAAAGGAGAACAAAACUAGUAACGAGGAGACUGACAUAGUGAUAAUAUGUUUGACUCAUGGGAUGCCGAUAUAUCUCACGAGGGGUUUUGUAAGGUAUCACAAAGCAAAAAUAAUAGCAUACGGUAACCACAGGUUCACUCGAUAAUCAUUCAUGUGAGUAUAGGGUUAACAUGGAUAUCCACAUGGUUCCACUAUUGAUCAUUGAACGAAAGGGUUUUUGUUCAUAUCUAUAUUUCACCAAACCUGCAGGGUCACAUGCUUAAGGGUUAUGAUCUGUUGAGUUUUAUUGGAGGUAGGAGUUCAAGAAAUAUCACUGAAAAAGGUUCUGGAGAUAAUAGAAAUUGUUUUGAGAGAUACCGAAAGUGUUUUGGGAAAACCGAAAGCGUUUAAGAGAAAACUAAGUAAAACCUGGAAGGUGGAAAAGUUCUGGAGGACUUAAUAAUAAUACAGGAGGGCUCUGAUAUUUAUCGAUAGCUCCCUGGGAUUAUUCUAGGCGCCAUGGACUACCCAAAUAAGCUAAAGCCUAUUAGGGGGCAGCCACAUGGGCCUAAGGCCUAAUAAGGGUGGUGCCCCCUUAGCCUUGACCCCAAGCUAAGGGGGUGCGGCUAGGAGUUGGAGGAGGAGUCCUCCUCCUUGGCCGGUGCCACAAGGGAGGGAUUGCGCACUCCUCCAAGUCGGCCAACCCCCUCCUACAGCUGUUGAGACACAAGUUUCUCUUGCAACUCCGGGCCGGGGCGCCACCUCUCUCCAGUUCUCUAGUUCUCCACAAAACUGUGAGACGCCACGAGGCUGCUCCUACCUCCUUUGUUUAUUCGGGAAAGCCUAGCUCUAGACGGUGAAGCGCUGCCUCAUCGUCAAUCUCGUAUCCGUGCAAUCCUUAGAGAGAUUGUGCUUUCGAUCUUUGUUCGAGGGACUUUAAGAACGAUCUACACGAACUCUUCUUUCGCUUCAACUCGAAGUUGGUAAUGAUCAGAUCUAACCUUGUAUGUAUAUUCAUAGUGAUCUUGGGGUCUCGAUCCGUAGGCCGAUUUUUUAUAUUUUCUACUAUGUUUCCCAACAGUGGCAUAUGAGCGAUCUGUGAGUAAAUGUAGGUUACGAUCUAGAAUACAUGUGUUGUUUGGGUAUUGCACAAAAGUUUUCCGUACUGGGUUAGAUCUAUUGCUAAAAAAUUGAGUAGUAGAUGAGUUCUAUUUAUUAAUUAAAUUUGUGCGAGUAGAAGAUAAGAUUUAUUGUUAGUAGAUACAAUCUUCUACUUGAUGUUCUUGUUGCUUCCUUGAAUUUGCGGUUUUCUGAUCUUGGUGGCAUCGUCCAAACAUUAUUCCAAAGUUCUGGCAAUCUACGAUUCUUCCAUGCUACUCUUAGUAUGUUGAUCAGUCAGAUCAAAGAAGUACUUCAGUUCUUUGGGUUUCAUGUUAGUCAAGAAAGACAAAAUAUGUGAAACUAGAGGCUAUGUAGAUUUAAUGUACACAUGGAUCAUGCAUAUUGACGAAAUUUAGUCUGGGGCUAGGUAUCUUUAAUUAAGUCUCUUCCCUCACACACCUCGCAAACUUAAUCUAGCAACAUGAAUGAUCAUACUUGAUGAUGGACAUAGAUAACUAGUGUUUGUUCCGAAACCCUAGAAGCCACAUAUUUCUGUUGUUGCAUAAACCGAUUAGAGGCGUCUAACUUGGUUUUGCUGGCUGCAUGUGAUGUGGUAUAGCCUUCGUCAUAUUAAUGAGAUGUUGCAUGCGAUUUAUGUAAUUAUGUAUGUUGUAAUGUCUUAAGUGACCUAUGUAUCACAAUAUGGCAUGAUGAUUGGAGCCAUAUGAUUGUCAUUUUAAUGACAUGCGUGUUAACUUUGUUGUAAUACGAUUUUAUCUAGUAGCUAUGGAGAUAGAGGUGACAAAAUAGAGAUUAGGUACGGUGGUGACCAGCUUGCAAAGGAGGACCUUGACCCAUGAGGCUGUACAAAAAGACGGAGAAGAAAAGUCGAGGAAACUACUGUCACAACGGAAUUGCUGCCACAACAUCACUUUCAAGUUGCCACGACAAGCAGUUUUUAGAUAAACCUAUUUUUGGUUAAAACUGCUGCCAGAACACCAUUUUUUUCUGCUGCCACGACAAUGCUUUUGGCUGAAAUUUCGCGAAGAUGAAGAGAACUUCUCCGACUGAAGGGGCUAUACCAUAUCAUGCUGUUUUCAAUUGGCUGAGAUGUUUAUCCCUUAUUUUAGCACCAUUUUGAUUGUUAGUCGUUUUUAUUAGGGGUGAUCUCUUGCUAUAAAAUAUCAAAUAGUUGGUGUUCUCCCAAGUGUAGCACCGUCUGCAACACGUAGCUUUUCAGGGUACCACAUGUACACAUGAGUACGAAUGAUCAGUGAGGUGUAACGCAGGUGAAGGUCAGACCUCUUGUUCUCCGGCGACGCCUAGCUCUGGACUGCAAAGUGCUGUCAGAUCGUCGAUCUCGUAUGCACAAUCCGUAGAGAGAUCGUGCUUUCGAUCAUCGUUAGAGGGACGAUUGGAGGGACUUCCAGAACGAUAUACACCAACUCUUCUUCCGCUGCAACUCGGAGUUGUUAAUGAUCAAAUCUAACCUUGGAUGCAUCUUCAUAGUGAUCCUGAGUCUUGAUCCAUAGGUCGACUAUUUUGUUUUCUACUAUGUUUCCAAACAAGUCUGACAUGGCCGGGCCAUGUGGCCCCACCACAUGAUACCCAUCGAGCUGCCCAGGGACGCCCUUCAGCCACGAUGCUCAUAUAUACUCCCUGAGUGUACCCUAAUCCUAUCAGAUUUUUUUUUCAUCGCUGCACAAUGAGAUAUUCGCAAUCCGAGGUGGAGCCCUUUCUAGAUUGCUUCUCUGGUAUUUAGUGGAAUGCAAUGGGUAGUGGCCGCGGAACUGAAUGACAUAUGAGUUGAGCUCUACACCGGCUGUCCAACCUCUACUGCAGUCCAUGGUUCAUCAAUAUCUUUGAAUGCUGUCGAAAUGUAAAUGCAGUUACUCUAUCCUCCCCAUCUUUUGGGGUUCAUGCAAGAAAAUGUAGCUUUCCUCCUAUGAUUCAUUCGUAAGAAAGAGAGCCCAAUUGUGGAAGACAUGGGAAGCCAAACAGUUGGUCCAUGAUUACCGAGAGAUCAACCAAGAGAAGAAUGUCACCGUGGACCACCAACCAUGGCUUAGAAUGCAUGCCUACAAAUAUGCUCUCUUCCCACACAACUGCUACUUCUAGCAUGUUGAGCUCAGGUGCAAUGUGUAUGGUAUAUAGCCUUUGAACAAAGUCCAUGGCAAACAUCUGGCCUUUGAAGAAACGCAAUCUGAAGGAUGAGUUCAUGAACAAGAGGGUGCUCUGUCCAAGAAUUGUUCCAACCUGCACUAGAGCAUAGAGGUUNNNNNNNNNNNNNNNNNNNNNNNNNNNNNNNNNNNNNNNNNNNNNNNNNNNNNNNNNNNNNNNNNNNNNNNNNNNNNNNNNNNNNNNNNNNNNNNNNNNNNNNNNNNNNNNNNNNNNNNNNNNNNNNNNNNNNNNNNNNNNNNNNNNNNNNNNNNNNNNNNNNNNNNNNNNNNNNNNNNNNNNNNNNNNNNNNNNNNNNNNNNNNNNNNNNNNNNNNNNNNNNNNNNNNNNNNNCUAGGAAAAUUACCCGUGCGUUGCAACGGGAAUACACUAAAAAUGUUGCCAUCGCAGAAAAACAGCUGAAGAAAAGAAUAAGUACAUGUGUUUGUUUUACCUCCUCACCCGAACCGGUCACUGCAUCUUUGCCCUACAUCAUUCACAACAACAUGACAUCGCACCAUUGCCUACGAUCUUGCCAAGGAUCAGCCUGAAUUCCGAUGUCCAUCAUCACCGUGAUGCCCCUCACCCUUCACUGGGACUAUGUCAAUUACCUCCAAAAUACCUUCACCACCUAUAUGAAAUGUCAAACUGGACAAUAUUCAUUAGUACACAUUAUUAAUUCACCUAGGAAGUUUUAAAUUUAUAAACCCAGUGUGCAUUGGCUUCUAGCAAAAUUGGUCAACUGGACUGUAUGUGAGUACUUCCAAAUUUUGUUAGUCACCUGCAUGAAGCCUUCACUUUACUUAGCAAAAAGGCCCGUGCGUUGCAACGGGAGAAAAAAAUACCACAUAUUGCCCAAACAAAUAUGGUCUUAACCUAUAAACGCGUAGUUUUAAGAUUCUACAGGUGUUCUAUUUCAACACGGCUUGCAUGUAGAUUUAAUUUUACAAAGAAACGGGCAAAUGAUCAUGCAUUUAUUCAUGUCAUGUUGAGAAUGGGGUGUUAUUAUGAGUGAGUAAAGAAAAACGACAAAAUCAAACGAUCUUGUGUUGCGCAUAGUCCAACAGGCCGAGCCCAGUUCAGUUGGCGGAGGACGAUGCGGCACUGCGGCUCGUAUUGAUCUAGCCAGAACUCGCCGCCUACGGGGAGGAGCGGCUCAACAAAGGUUGUGAUGCGCGUUGUCGAACAGGCCAAUGGUGGUGCGCCGGUAGGCUACUGGUUCAUUUGCUGAUGUUGGCACCGCACCUACCAAGAAAAGGUAGGGGGAGGAAAGAGGAUGGUACCGUCGCCAGAGACGGUAAACGACGCGACAGGCUGAUGGCCAGAGGCGAGGAAGCGUUGGUGUGGUGAUUAACAUUGCAGCCUAGAUAGUAUAUUUUAAAUUGUUAACAGGUAAAAUAAUAUCAUAUAUAGAUUCUACAUAUUUUUCUAAUCAAAUUUCAUAUAUAACAUGUUAAAUUCGGAGUUACGGUUUAGAAGAUAUGAGUAUUUUAAAAAACAUUUGAUUUGAUAUGUAUUGUGGGUUUAAUAUCAUAAACAUUAGAGGGUUUUCUAUAAAAUAGCAAAACGGACUAAGAAUACCUAUUUCUUUUAUUAGUAGGUAUAGAUGAGCAUAAAACAGAGGUACGUAAUAUGCAUCUGAGUGGACUCGCCCGGCCCCCGCGUCGCUCCGCACAGGCGACACGGGAGGCGAAACUAGCAGCCACCAGCAGCCGCUCCCCUGCCGUCCUCCCCCUCGCCGCCGCCGGGGUGCGCCGCCGGUCAAAGGCCAUGUGGCAGCGGCGGCGGCGGGGCUUCGUCUUCUACAGGGUGUGGGCGCACCCGUGGCUAGUUCAUGCGGGAGCCAGCGCGGGGUUCGUUCUGCAAGCGGCGCCGGUGGUCGGGAGAUCCUCUCCUCCGGCAGGGCGGCGGAUCCGGGGCCCUCGCGCCCGGAUCUGGUGCAGUGGUGGGCGCGCGGCUGGGGAGGCCCCGUGCGGGGGGCUAGUGCGCAGCGGAGGUGUGGAUCGGCUCCGGCCGUCGCGUGGUGUGCGCGGUGAGCAUGGUGAACGUGCUCGCGUCGGAUCUGGCGCUCAGCAAUGGCCUCCGGCGGCAAGGGGCGGCUCAGGCGCGCGGCUGUGGCGAGGGGGUGGCGCGGCAUGGAUCUGGCGGGGCCGCUCGUCUUCUCCGGUGGGAUGGCAGCAGGAGCCAGCGGCGCAGAGGGGCGCAGUUGUGCUGUGCUGGGCGCUUGGCUGCUCAAGGGGUCUGGCGCCGUGGUGCUGGCAUCGAGUGCGCGUGAGCUUGGUGGUCGACGGCGGAGGUAGCUUGGCGCAGCAGGAAGGUGGAGCCGGUGGAUGUCGACCAUGGGGAUUGUGUGCUGCGCAGUGCUUCGGAUCUGCUCGGAUUCGGAGGUGUGGUGGAGCUCCGGGCGAAAGUCCAGCACUGACCAUGGGUCGGUGCCGGCAACAGCGGCGCCAUGGCCAUGGCGUCGUUCCCCUUCUUGAAGGUGUUGCCGUGGUGCUCCAUUGCAUGACUCUCCGGGAGAAAUCCCUAGCUUCGGAUGGUCGAAGCGGGCGAUGACGGCGGCUACGUCGUUUCCUUCUUUGAGGCAUCGCCUUGGAGAGUCAGCAUGUUGCAGUUUGCAUGUAUCUCUUCGUCGUUGGGGACAGUGGAAGUCGGGGCGGCGGCUCCGGAUGGUUUCUGAUUGUAUGUCGAGAUGGCAAUCUCGGGAACAAUGUGAGUGGCAGCUCUAUGAGGUGGAUCUCUAUCUCGACAUUGGUUGGGUGGAUCCUUGUCCCGCUUGGGAGGUAGGGGUGUCGGCUCGGUCGAUGCGCCCCAGAGGGGGCGGUUUGACUUUACGUCGGGGCGGCGGCCCCGGAUGUGGUGCGACGUUCGUGGUCUGCGAGCGGUUGUCCUGAGCAGCGUGGGCUGCGGGCAGCUGGGUUGUGAGGCGUUGCUGCUCGAGGGGAGCGGUGGUAUGUCGGGGCGGCGGCCCCGGAAGGCGGUGCCGGUUGAUUGCGCUGGGCGCGACGGAGCGGUGGAUGUCGGGGCGGCGGCCCCGAGAGAAUCAUUGUGGCGACCAGACUUCUGUGGCAACGAUGAUGGUGGGAGCGAUGUCGGCGACGCGGCAAUGGUUGCGGUAGUCGGCUCUUCUCCGGCGUGUCCACGGUUUUGCCUAGGUUUGCUCGUUAUUAUGCAGUCGAAGCUGCGGCGGCGGGGCCCUGUGGUGUACGAUGACUGGCUGCAGGUGGCUGUUCGGCGAUCUUCCGUGGCGCCAGCCGUGCCUGGUUUUGUUCUUCUGAGUUUUUCGUCAGAGUCGGAGCUGCGUUGUCUGGCCGCGGGUCGACUUGUAGUCGAUAAGGGUGGGCUUUGCCCUGUUUGUUUCAGUCUAUGGGAGUGGGCUUGGCCCUUGUCGUUCCAGUUUUGCCCGGUUUUCUGUAAUUAACUGAGCAAUUCUUUUCUUCUUAAUUAAUAGAUGAGGCAAUCUUUGCCUCCGUUUUGAAAAAAAUAUAUGCAUCUGAGUGUUCAACGGCUCCCAAAUUUCUCUGAACAUGUGUCAUGCAAACAUCUGAUUAUUUAGUUGUUCGACAAUCGCCCAUUGUACACGCCAUGCUCAGUAACCAUGCUACUCUGAAUGUAUGCUAUCCCGAGUGGGGAUUUCCAGUGGCAGGGCAGCACCAUGAACAUGAGGGAAGCCAGUAACACUAGAUUAUAUUCUUCAGUUUAAAGGCAGGGCAGGUGCUGACAGACUGAUUAAGCUUGGAUUGAGAAACGAAAGAGACUGGCAGGGGUGGGUGAGCAUGCAGACCUGUUGCCGAGAGUAAUUGGUGCCGGCGGAGGCCAGGAGGUCCAGCGGCAGCCGCGCUCUCCGGAGGCGGAGGAGGCUUCCUCCAGCCAUUGAAGUACGAACCUCCUACCGGUCGGCAACCAUGGCUCCGACCAGAGUCGCCCCCUCGUUGCGUGGUGGUAGCGGCGGCGAUGUGCCCCACGCGCCCUGCAAGAUGGGCCGGCCCAUGAAACACGUCAAAACAGUAAGCUAGCGCAGAAAAAAACCCCAAAAAAUAGCUUCAACGGGAGAUUCGAACUCACAUGCUUCGCGUCACAACCAAGCUCGCUAGCCACUAGACUAACACGCCUUAACUGACUAAAAAUAGCGUCGAAGACAAACUAACAUCGUCACAGCGCUAUUUGUUGCACAUAACCACGUACUAUAUCGCAUCAAUUUUUUAGAAAAAAAAAUCGUGAUUAUAAAAAGUUCAUGGAUUCUGAAAAAAGUUCAUCAUUUUUUCACAAACUUGAAAAAAGUUCAUCGAGUUUCAGAAAGUGUUCAUCAAAUUUUAAAAAAUGUUCGUAGAUUUGAAAAAAGUUCAUCAAUUUUUAAAAAAGUUCUUGGAUUUUCAAAAACUAAAUCUAAAAGUUUGAAUAAAUAUCUUCAAUUUUAAAACAGUUCAUAGAAUUUUGAAAAAAAGUCUAUUGAAUUUUGAAAAAAAGUUCAUUGAAUUUAAAAAAAGUUCACAAAAUCUGAAAAAGAUCAUUGAAUUUGAAAAAAAGUUCAGCAAUUUGAAGAAAAAGUUCACGAAUUAUUAAAAAAAUCAUCAGGCCAGGAAGAAGAAAAACAAAAAUAAAUAAGUAACAGAAACGAAAAACGAAAAAACAGAAACAAAAAAACAAAAGAGCAAAAAAGCAAAAAGGAAAGAUGUCAUAAGAAAAUACGUAAAUGGACGUUAGUAAUCAGGUUGCGGGUUGUGGCGCAGUGGUAAAUGCCUGUCGACUCGAAGUGUUGGUCCCGAGUUUGAUACCCAGGUUGAGUGCUCUUUUUUGUGUCUACAGAACAAAAAGGAAAAAAAUGUGUGAUAGUGAGAUGGGUCGGCCCAGCUCGAGGCGCUGCAGGUGCCCGUUUGCAGAAUUACACAUUAACGGGCGCCUGCAGCGCCAAAUAGGAAAUGCCCUACGAGCCGAGGAGACACCACGCGACCGACCCUUUUGGGUUGGGCUGAUGUCCGGGCCUUGGAAUGUUGAUGUGGGCGGGCCCAAACACAGAAGCGCAAUUUUCACGACCAAGUAGGACGACACUGGACUCAUGGAGGGUAUAAGUGAGAGUGGCGAUAGAGCACACGAGCUCGCUUGCUCCUGCUAGGUGGACCAAUGGAACAUCGUGAUGUUGGAGCUAGCAUUCAAUGGUUGCGGAACACAUGGGUGAGUUUACGCAGAGAAAAGGCAGGCAUGUGGACGUGGGCCUGUAUGAUGAAGCAACGACGUGGGUGGGUGUAGUAACGGAGACGUAACGAUGUUCAGUCGCUACAGGAUGAAGCACACUUUUUUUGAGUUGGGAUGCAACACUUCGUGUGUAAAACAAGUUAGUUUGGAGCGAACACACUUCCUCUAAAACCGAUUUUUUAACAGGGAAAACUAAAAUAAGUUAGCAACACACUUCGGAAAAAAGCUAGUGGGGGGAACACUCUAUUAUUAUUUAUCUUUUGCGGUUUUAUUUACAUUUUAUUUUUUAUUUUUCUAUUCUUUUUGGUAAAUUGCAUGCGCUAAAAAAUAUAAAUAGUGGACGUACGUUAAAGAGUGGAUAUAAAAAAUUUCAUGCAUAUUUGAAAAAAUAUGUUUAUAUGUGUGUGAAAAAUAACUGCCGCGUGGCAUAUCCUAAGGAGAACGCCAUGAGCGGGCGAGCUCAUGCGCUCCUGUGACCAUUCGGAUAUAAAUACAUUUGAACUACAUGUAUAAACAAAUUGCCUCUCUAGCACAAUGACAAGUAGUUGUCUUGCCAAAAGAUCUCAUCAGUUCUCGACUUUCAUAAGUUAUGAUGGCUUUCGAUACUCUGUACAUGUUCAGAUUCGAGCACCGACCGAACAAUCUUAUAUCAUGUGCUACCAAACAUUAAUUGCUCUCAUGCUACCAUUUUUUUAAUCCAUGCUUAAAAAAUUAAAACAAUUGUGUGUACUUACAAUGUGUAGGAAUCUCAAGUUAAAAAACAAAAUACACAUGUAGAAACAAAAACGGCAAAUCCGAAUGUGAACAGUGUCAUUUUAUCUUUUGUCUUUUAGUGAUACUGUCAGGAUGAAUUUGUCUUUUUUGUUUCACAAUGUGUAUUUAAAAAAAAUAUUUGAAAUUUUUACAUAUUGUAGACACAUGUCUUGUGAACACUCAUACUAAUUAUUUUCAGAAUUUUUUGAAACACAUAUUUUUUUUGAAAAAUGAUAUCAUGGGAGCACCUAAUGUGUGAUAGAACCUGAUAUUCUCGGCAUCUUAAAAGAUUGUCUCAGAAAAAAAAACUUGUGAUUAAAAGAAGCUAGCAACACACUUCCUCUGAAAAAGGAAAAGGCUGGAAACGCACUAUGUAAAAAAGUGCGAGCAUGCUCCGUUACUACUUUUCAUCUGUGUUUCUAUUUUUUUUACAUUUUUUGGUUUUCUUCAAUCUUUUUGUGUUAAAAAUGUUCAUGCACGUCAAAAAAUGGUCAUGGAUAUAAAAAUAUUCAUGUCUAUUUAAACUUUUCUUGUAUAUUAAAAUCUGGCCCUUUUUUAUUAAAAAGGGCAUCUUGUUUUCACAAAAUUUCAUCGUUCAAAUAAAAAAAUCAACCAUAAAAAUUAUUCAUAGUGUAUUUAUAAAGUACUCAUCGUGUAAUUAAAAACAUCAUAAUGCGUUAACACUUUGUAUACAAGGUCCAUCAUGCACUUUUUUAAACACCGUGUGUCAAUUCAACAAAACAUGUUGAUUGUGUAUUAAAAAUGUUCAUCACAUAUAUUAAAAAUUGAUGGUCGUGUCACAAAAAGUGCUCAUGUAUGUAUCAUAAAAUGUAUGUAUUUUUUCAGUUGGAACCUGUUUAUUGGGAUUACGGUACCGACUUUCAGCAUACAUUAUUCAACAUUUGAAUCCAGGCUAGGGGCAGUAAAGCGUACACUAUCACAACCUGCCGUCACGGCACUGUCUCACUCCGUCAACUCGAUCAUGCCCAGUAGAGUGCGCGCACGGUUCCCUAUGUGUAUAGUACAAACUAGCAUUCCUACUACCAUAAAUGGUGUUGCCACGAGACGUUGUGCCAUUGAUCCACAUAGCAGGAUCAGGCGAGCCCGUCCACGCCAAGGAGUUUUCGCCUACCAAACUUCAUAUCUUCGCUUGGAGAUUGGCUCGGGCGUCCCUGCCAACGGGCCAAGAGCGUGUGAGGAGGCACAUGACAAACGGUGCUACUUGUCCGAUAUGUUCGGCGGUCUUGGGCUCAUGGAGGCAUGCAUUGCUUGAUUGUAACAUGGUCAAAAGUGUGUGGUCUCUCCGAGAUGAUGAUGCACUGCUACCGGUAUAUGGCGACGAGACACCGGACCCUAAGCUUUGGCUUUUUAGUCUGUGUAACACACUGAGCACGGAUAAUUUUGUCUCGGUCCUAGCUACGUUAUGGGCGAUCUGAUGUGCGAGAAGGAAGGCCAUCCAUGAACAUGAGUUUCAGAGUCCAUUGUCGACACACUUGUUCAUUGAGCGGCACAUGCAGGAGUUGCAGGAACUUUCGAAGCGACUUACUCUGGCCGAUGCGUCGCAUUGAAGCGGGUUGACCGCCCCUUCGCCUGGCCUGGCCGCGGCUAUAUAAAUCAUGCUCCAGCAAAGCACAGAGCCGCAAUCCCCCUCCCCGAACACCGCCGCACUACGCCUCUACGUCACCCACCUCGCGGAGCCCCUUCCUCCUCUCCGAUCCCAAAGGUGGUGCCGAAGUCAUGGUGCUCCGCGCCUACAGGCGGCGUCGACCGGCGGUCUUACUCCGGUGAUUCUUGGUGCUGGCGUCGUCGCUCUUUUGGACCUUCGGCAUCCACGGCGGCCGGCUCCUCUGUCAAGGAGGAGAUCGUCAUCUCCUCCGGUGACGAGAAGGACCAGGCGCCGCCACCGCAGCCGCCCCGACUCCUCAAGGAGGCCACUCAGACGGACGAAGAUUUGUCUGUCAGAUUGAGAUAAUGACGGAGCGGUCGCUCUGGUACAUGUGCCUGUCGACUCUAUCGCUGGCGCACGUCAAGGAGGUGCCGCCAUCCCCGCAGAGCCACCGCGUGAAGCUCGAGCCGACCUCCCUGCUCUGGCCUGUGAAGGAGGGGUUGGCCUCGCCCCAGCAGCACCGCGCGUCUAGAUUGUACACUGCGUGAAGGAGGAGACGGCCUCACCCCGCACCACCACCGCGGCGACCAGAUCCGACACCGGGUCCCCACCUCGCAGCCGAUAUGGCCGCAUGGACGCGUCAUCAUUGCCACCGCACUGCCAUCGCCUCACCGUCAAGGAGGAAUUGUCGCCCGUGAUCAAGAAGGCGCAGGGCCGCCACCUCCACUACCUCGGAGGAGGCGGUUAUGGAGGUGCCUCGGGCUCGAGGGUCGUCGUCUCCGAGGAGGAGCGCGUGGCGAGGCAUCACGCGAGGUACGACAAGCGCAAUGGCCGGUCGCGGCUCCACAUUCGCUACGUGGCGCCGGACUGGGUCCGUAAUGACCCUGACCUCGCCGCCGCGUGGGCGCUUGACCGCUCUGUGACCAUUGUAGAGAAGGUCAACAGGUGCUGUCACCGUCUUGACGGCGAGGUCGCGAAGACCGACGAGGAGUGGUCGCUUAGUGACUGCUCCACCGACACCAGGCGCGGCAAGGCAGCCGUCAGGGCUCCGAAGGCCACGUCGGCAAUGGCAGCGGCGACACUCUGCACUGUAUAGCAGGAGGCGGAGCGGCUCCUCUGCGAGCGGCAGGCUGCCGCCGGACAAGGUGGGCCCUCUGGUGUCGUUGCGCCGCUGGAGGGACCACAACGACAAUGGCACCAAUGGAGACGGUGGUGCUGCAGGGCAGGGCGGCCACGCGUACGAGGUGGUCGUCCGGUAUAGUGUUUAUGUCUUUUUAUGUUUUAAACAAUUGAAAUAUCGACCAUUUAUGUAAAUUAUAUCCGAACUUCUAUGAAAUCUGUCCGGUUUGAACAAAUUUCAUCCAAUUUGUUUGCAUUGUUGGCUGGAUGUAUGCGGGCACCGUUGGAUGGUGGCAACCCGCAUCCGUGUCUGCGGAUGGAUGCAUGAGGAAAUUUGUGGGUUGCCGUUGAAGAUGCCCUAACAUCAAAGCUUCAUUUUUACUUAAUUGAAUCAAAUACAACAUUACAGUAACAACAACUUCAGUUUUACUUAACUGAAUCUAAUAGAACAUGGCACUGACACUAAGUACAACACUGCAAGAUAUACACAAACUGCAUCCGCAACACCGACACUUUAACAGAAGCAACUAUAACUAUAAGUUAACUGAAUGUAUAGCACUAAACUGACAAGAACAAUAAACUAAUCCCAAUAAACUUCAACACAUAAUAGCAUUGCCAAUGCACUAACCAUGACAGUUCAAUAAAAAAUGGACUGACUUAAUUGACAAAAAUAAAUACCAACCAUUAAUCUAAACACAGAAAUACAUUUCAUGUAAUCCAAAACUAAGUGGAUAGCACAAACCUGCACCGCACAGCCAUAUAACCUCCUACUAGUGUGGAUCCCUUGAAAUGCAACAUAUUUCGAACAUGGGGCCAGGUGAAGCCUGCAGUUGAUGCUUAGAUCUAUAAAUUUACCAAUUAGCACGCAAAGAUGCAUCUAUGGUUGUGUCAGGGUUCUCCAACAUUUUCAGAGCACACAUGAACCCUAACCCUAGGUAAAAAGCACAACACUUACCCAGAGCUCCAUGUCCAUGACGACGAACUCGUCCUUGCUGCUCUCCUCUACAUCCUUCCACGAUGGCAUUGCUGAACAGCGGCGAGGAGACAGUGCCUCUUGCGCGACGGCGAGGAGCUCGGCAGCGACAACAAGGGAGAGCAGAGCAAAGAGAGAGCCAGUGGAGUGGGGGAGGAGAUACCGUCACCCCUGUUUUGUACCACGGUGCGACUUAACGGCCGUCAACCCCGUCGCCGUCUGACUUGUCCGACGUGGCACUGACCAGUGGCCCAACCGUGUUAGAAAUCAUGGUUAACUGGCUCAAAUCAGUCAUUUGUGUUUAUUGAAAAAGUUAGCAAGAAGGUAGAUUUUUGGGACACGCGAGAAAUGUGGUGACAAAUCCGGAUGUUAACAAGAAAUGUGGUUGUUUUUUGCAAUUCACUAAGCGAAUAAUUGAUGAAUUAUGUACUCUGAUGUAUCAAAAUGCCGUUCAAUGAAAUAAAGAAGCAAUGAAAUUUGUUUCGGUGGCUGAAAAUGAAAUGUAAAUGACAAUUUUUUUACUCUGUUAUAUUUAGGGAAUCGACUAGGUCCGAUCAAAAUUUAAUGAAGUAAAUAUACUCCACUAAGUUACUUCAUUGUUUUACUCCUCUAUUUUUAAGGGAACGACUAGAGUUAGCCUAAGAGGUUCAGAUUUGUGAAGCAACUAAAGCACAUCAGCAGCCAGAAGCAGAGGCGGAGCCAGGAUUUGGACAUGAGGGGGGCGAAAAGCUAAAACCAUUUCUUAUUCAUUUUAAUUCAUCUGAAGUUCCGUCUACCAUAUACAUAACAUUAUUAGUAUAAUUGUUCUUCUCUAAUUCGUUUCUGAACUUUUCGAGAAAGAAACUUAAGAAUUUCUUUUUGCACGAUAUGUAGGUAUAGUUCGCAUAGACAACAUCAUUUAUUUGCUAUAAUAAGGCAACAACUUCAAUGGUUCGAGAAAAUAAAUAAGCCAACAGCUUCAGCAGUUCAAGAAGAUUACUUUGAUUUGUAGAUUGUGGAGAUUCAUCGUUAUCUCUAUAAGCACAAUCUUCAAAUGUUAACACCUCAUGAAAUCAUCAAGAAAAGAAAUUGUUACUUUUUACUAAAGUAUAUUAUAUAUGUUGUCAUUCUCAAAAUAGAAUAAUCUUUCGUACUUGAUGGAAUUAAUUGUACUUUAAGCUUCAGUUGCUUGUACAACCAUAUUUGCAGCUGUUUGUACAAUUGCUCUCCAAAAUAUAAAAUGAUAAUGUAUGGAUAUUCUCUGAGGCAAGGUUGAUAAGUACCUUCCAGAAUAUAAAAGGGUUGUGCUUGUUCGUUCUUAUUAAUAGGGAGUUCCCAAAUUUGUUGGAGCUUACUGGGUCACUCUCAUAAGUUGUGCUUCCAAUUCUACAUUGUUCUGCGACUUCCAUCGACGCCACAACCUCUUGAUCAGCGAUAUUGUUAUUUGCAAUAGGUUCCUCCUCAUAUGGAUUUACAUUUUCGACACCAGUAAUGUUGGAGGUUGAAGUCGAAGAAAUUGGCUUGAAAAAAGAAUUUAUCCCCUUAAUUGUUGGUGCCUUUUGUUUCAUCUUUGACUACUAUAGCAAAAAAAACUUGAUUAAUAGAUUAAUGACCUUAAUUACACAUAAUACCAAUUGACCAAACUAAGAUUGUAUAAUUCAAAACAGAAAUCUUAAUACCUUCUUCCUCUAUCUGAUCUCUCGAUGUUUAGCCGUGCUCUGAUCUGUAUGUAGCCUACAUUUGACACCGGAGAGGACACUGUAAAUCAACCGAUGGCGUCGUCAUGAUGAGCGGGCAGCGGCAAUGGUAGACACAGAUAGGCACGAGCGGCGACCGGCGGCGGCGCUGGCAGCGGAAAAAAGACGCCCUAGGGCAGAACAUACAUGUACGCACGUUCAGAUAAUCGAUGAAAAGAGUAGUUUUUUUUGUUUAGGAAAGUCAAAAGAGUAGCUAGCCAGGCCACCACGUACAUGCCUACGUGGGCCAUUGGGCUUUGGCUUCCGAUAAUUUGUGUAGCCAGUUCAAUUAAUAAUUUGUAUGCGGGCUAACCAUGCAAUUAGCUCCGGCCAAUUAGCACACAUAGUAUAGUACCUGUUACAAAUCAUUGAGGGGGGCGAGCGAUUGGCAGGGGUCUAGCCCCUGCUCGCCCCUCCCUGUCUCCGCCCCUGGCCAGAAGUCCACAUAUAGUAUGGAAAUUGUUUGGCCACCUCACCCCUACGGUCCAUACCCCAUAGGUUUCCUCUUUAUCACUAAGGGGAAAGUGAGACCAUGACUAAGCUUGGAUCGAGAUAGAUACGAGACAGGUGAGGAUAGAUGAACCGCCGAUGGCAAGGAGGGUUCGGCGGCCUGCAACGGCAGCUGCGCUCUUCGGCCAUGGACGCACGCCCCCUCUACCCGUCGGCAACCGUGGGGCUCCGACCAGAGUCGCCGCCUCGUUGCAUCCGUUCUUCAGGAGCGGCAGCGCUAGCGGGAGCUCCUGUUCAGCGCCUUAAAACAGUUCAUCGAUUCAGAGAAAAAGUUCAUCAUUUCUGAAGAACAGUUCACAAACUUAAAAUAGUUCAUCGAUUUUGAAAAAAGUUUAUGAAAGGGCAAAAAAGUGGGUACUCCAGGAUUCGAACUCACAGAGCAUGAUCUUCAUACGAGUUUAGGUAACCAAUACAUUAAACACCUGUGGCUAAUAAUAGUUGUAACAAAAGAAGAACAAGUGUGGCAACGCAAUUUAUUUCUCACUUGGACUUUUUAUUUAUUUUAAAAAAUCAUGAAUUUGAAUAAGUUUCAUCAAUUUUGAGACAAAGUUCAUCACUUUUGAAGAAAAGUUCAGAACCUUAAAAACAGUUCAUCGAUUCAGAGAAAAAGUUCAUCAUUUCUGAAGAACAGUUCACAAACUUAAAAUAGUUCAUUGAUUUUGAAAAAGUUUAUGAAAAAGUGAAAAGUGUUCAUCUUUUUAAAUAAGAGUUCGUCAAUUAAAAAAAACAUAAAUAUUGGAAAAAGUUAACCGAGUUUGAAAAAUAGAUCAUUGAUUUUUAAAAGUUCACAAACUUGAAGAAAAUCAUCAAUUUUGAAAAAAAGUCAUCAAAUUUUAAAAAAAUUUCAUGAUUUCAAAAAAAGAGUUAUCAAAUUUGAAAAAAAUAAUUUUGAAAUAGUUCAUCGAAUUCGAAAAAAUUUCAUGAAUUGGAAAGAAAUUUUAUAAUUUGAAAAAAAUCAUUAAUUUGAACAAAUUUAAUCAAUAUUAAAGAAAAGUUAGCAAAUUUGAAAAAAAUCAUCAAAGUUGAAAAAAGUUCGUCAAUUUUGGAUUUUUUUGACAGAUUUGAAAAAAGUUUAUCAAACACAGAAGAAGGAAAAAGAGAAAAGAAAACUGAAAAAGGGAAACAAAAAAAAGGAAAAACGAAAAAUGGAAAAAAAUUAGAAGAUAAGAUGAGAGAAAAACGAAAAUAGAACAAAAAAGGUAAGAUGAAGAAGCGAUGGAAUUAAACACAUGAAGUUCGCGAGGCGGGUGGUUACAGGCUUACAGCAUUGUGACUUUGUAAAAAGUAAAAAUUGAGCCGACGCUGCUCGAGAAGCCCACCACCAUCCCUAGCCGGAUGGCCCAAAUUCACCCAAGUACAAGUAAGCGGGUGAACUGUGAGCUACUGAGCCAGCCUCCACCACCACCAGAGAGGCAGAGACCAGACCACUGUGAGCGGAGGCUUCCCGGGAGCGGAAGUAUUGGAAUGAGUCUGCAGGCCCACGUACUUCUCCAACUAAUCACGACCGGCAUGCCUCUGCCUGCCUCCUAGCUUCUAGGGUAGAUAGUGGGAGUCUGUUAGUUGGUUAGACAAGUACGGGUGUGCGUUGUGGUGUUGUACUCUGUAUAUAUAUGAGCUGAAGAUCAAUACAAACUGUGCGUUCAGUCUCUACAUGGUAUCAGAUACUUCCACGAUCUCCUUCCUCGCUUCCGCCCCUCGAUGGAUUUCUCUGACCUCUCCUCCGCCGGCUCCGGCUCCGGCUCCGGCCCCGGCACAAACCCCUUCGGCGAUCCACCCUCUGCCAGCCCCUCCGUGCCUCUCCACCUCAUCCUCUCUCUCAACAUAGCCUCCGCCGUGCCCGUCACCCUUGAGCUGCACCCCCCGAACUACACCACCUGGAGCUCCUUCCUCCAUGCCCUUCUCAUGUCCUACAACAUCCAGGACCAUGUCAAUGGCACUGUCGACGCCCGGAACCGGCUCACCGACGCCGUCUGGACGCAGGUCGACUGGUGUAUCAUCCGAUGGCUUCUCGGCUCCAUCUCCGCCCAAGUUCGGGGCGCGGUCAGCCACCGGAACCCCACGGCGUACACGCUCUGGACGGCGAGCCGGUAGCUCUUCCUCUCCAAUCGGAAUCAGCAGGGCAUUCUCGCUCUGGAGGAGUUCCACGGCCUGCAUCAAAACGACCUCUCCAUCACCGAUUACUUCACCCGCCUCCAGACCCUCGCCGACACGCUCUUCGACUGCGGGAUGGCGGUGACCGACCGCGGCCUCGUCUCCAACAUGAUCCGCGGGCUCUCCAACAAGUUUGCCCACGCCAUCUCUACCAUGACGUACGACGAUUCCAAGCUGCCCACGUUCCUGCAAGCACGCACUUAUCUUCUCCAGGAAGAGCGCCGCAUCGAUCACGCCGCCUCCCACGAGUCCGCGACUGCGCUCUACGCCGGGCGCCUUCUGCCUCCACCGCCUGCUACCACUUCUGCUCCGCCAUCUGCUGUGCCCUACCCAUCUAGUGGCAACGGCGCCCAUGGCGUCCCAGGCGGCGCCAGUGGUCAUGCGGGCAACGGCGGCGGGCAGCGCGGCCGCAAGCGCCGCAAGGGCGGCAACGGCGGCGGCCAAGGUGGCCAUGGCGGGCCCCCUCCACCACAGGCUGCGCCACCUCUGCCUGCGUACGCGCCGCGUCCGCCCUCCUACGGCCACGCCGGCGUCAACCCCUGGACCGGCACGUUCAAUGCAUGGCCCAUAACGAUGCGCCCAUCUGCUACACCUACGGCUGGUCUGCUCGGCCCUCGUCCUCCGCUUGGGCUCGCCGCGACAACCUACGGCGCCGGCCCGCCUACUGCACUUGUGCCACCGGCCGCCGCACCGGUCCCGUGGGACACCAGCGCCCUUCAGGCCGCCCUUCUCGCCAUGCAGCAGCAGCCCUACUCCGGUGGCGGUGACUGGAUCCUCGACACCGGUGCGUCGUCGCAUAUGGCAGGCAACCCCGGUAUGAUCUCGGCUGUCCGGCCCUCCUCCUCCCCAUCUCAUAUUCUAGUUGGCAACGGUGCCCCUCUUCCUGUCACCCACACUGGCUCCACAUCCAUCGCCACCUCUUCCACUCCUCUCUCUCUUAGUCAUAUUCUGAUUUCUCCUUCUCUCAUCAAAAACUUGAUCUCUGUUUGCGCACUUACUCGUGAAAAUUUUGUGUCCGUGACAUUUGACCCUUUUGGUUUCUCUGUUAAGGACCUUCGCACUGGGACGGUGGUGCUCCGAUGUAAUAGCGGCGGCGAUCUUUAUCAUCUCACCUCCGGCGCUACUGCUUCUCCCACUGCUUUUGUCGCCCUCACAGCCGAUUUAUGGCACCAAAGGCUUGGACAUCCCGGACGCGCUGCUUUAUCACAUGUUUUAGACAACCUUGAUUUCCAUUGUAAUAAAGCUACAUCUCAUACUUGCCAUGCCUGUCAGCUAGCCAAACAUGUACGCUUGCCUUUUAGUGAAUCCAAUAAUAUUGCGCCGUUCCCCUUCCAUACGCUCCAUUGUGAUGUGUGGACUGCCCCGGUACUUAGUAACUCUGGGUUUCAGUAUUUCCUCGUUGUUCUUGAUGAUCACACACAUUUUGCCUGGACGUUUCCUCUCCGGCGUAAGUCUGAUGUUUUUGAGGUGUUGAUUACAUUUCAUGCGUAUGUCGCCACACAAUUCCAACGACCCAUCCUCUCCUUCCACACCGACAAUGGUCGUGAAUUCGACAAUAAAGCGUUUCGCCACUUUCUCUCCACCCACGGUGUUGUCUUCCACCUCACUUGCCCCUACACCUCUCAACAAAACGGACGUGCCGAGCGGAUCAUCCGAACUCUCACCGAGGGCCUGCGUAGCCUCCUUUUCCACUCUACCACGCCUACUAGAUUUUGGCCCGACGCCCUCGCCACCACAACCUAUCUUCUCAACCUGCGCCCUUGCCGGCCUCACCAACAUGUCACACCUUUUGAGCUCCUCUACGGAAAAACCCCAUCCUAUUCCCACCUACGAGUCUUUGGAUGCCUCUGUUACCCUAACACUACAGCCACGGCUCCCAAUAAACUCUCCCCUCGAUCUAAGGCGUGCGUAUUUCUGGGCUACCCUCCUGAUCAUGCUGGUUACAAGUGCUUCGACCCCACCACAGGCCGGAUCAUCAUAUCACGUCACGUUUUUUUCGACGAGCACUCGUUCCCGUUUGCGCAGGUCCCGGCGCCUCCCUCUGCGUCCAACCGAGUCCUCACCAGGGAUACCUCGCCGCCACUACUCCUCGCCGGGUCGCCGCGUCGGCCGCCUGCUGCUCCGACACCCUCGGCUACCGCGGCGGCGCACCCUGGAUCGGCUGCCAUGGCAGCAAAUUCCGCUGCCUCGGCAGCGACUACUGCUGCCACGACAGCAGUUUCGUCGCCCGGGUCGGCUGCAGCUCGUGCGUCGCCCAGGACGGCUGCCAUGACAGCAGAUUCGGCCGCCUCGGCGGCGACUUGUGCUGCCACGGCAGCAGUUUCGCCCGGCACAGCUGCAGAAACGCCUGCACCUUCUCCGUCGAGCGCGACCAGUGGCUGCAGCUCCCCUGUGGUCUUCGCCGGUGGCUCUACCCCACCACCGCCGCCCGGCCGUGCUCAUCCCAUGCUGACACGGGCUCGCGCGGGCAUCACUCGCCGCAAUACGCAGUACGAUGACGACUACAUUCUCACUGCCACCGUACCUUCUCCGUCACCUGUUCCCACGUCGGUUCGAGCAGCCCUCGCGGAUGCUCACUGGCGACAGGCCAUGCAGGGGGAAUUUGACGCCCUCCGCGCCAACGCUACCUGGACCUUGGUUCCUCGGCCGCCCGGUGCCCACGUCAUCUCCGGCAAGUGGAUUUUCCGCCACAAGCUGCAUCCCGACGGCACAUUGGAUCGGUACAAGGCGCGGUGGGUCGUUCGUGGCUUCACCCAGCGUCACGGCAUCGACUACCACAACACCUCGCCCGUCGUCAAGCCGGCGUCCAUCCGCAUCGUCCUCCAGCUCGCCGCCUCUCGGAAUUGGCCCGUCCACCAGCUUGACGUUAAAAACGCCUUUCUCCACGGUGAGCUAACCGAGCAUGUCUAUUGUCAGCAGCCUGCGGGUUUCCUCGACGAGGCACGCCCACAUGAUGUGUACCUUCUAUCCAAGUCGCUCUACGGCCUCAAGCAAGCUCCACGCGCUUGGUUCACGAAGAUCACCACCUGUCUACGGACCAUUGGGUUCAUGGCGACUCGCUCCGAUGCGUCGCUCUUUGUCUAUCGUCAAGGCCACGACAUCGCCUACCUGCUACUCUACGUCGACGACAUCGUCCUCGCCGCCUCGUCAGACGUACUACUCCGCCGUGUCAUCGCGCAACUCACCGCCACCAUCGCGCUAAAGGACUUGGGCGCGCUGCACUUCUUCCUCGGCAUCCAAGUGCGGCGCACCUCGGCGGGGUUCUUUCUUCAUCAACAUCAGUACGCUGAGGACCUGCUGCAUCGUGCUGGCAUGACCAACUGUAGGCCAGCCUCAACUCCGGUCGACACGCGGUCCAAGCUCUCUGUCUCCGAUGGAGAACUUGCCGAUGAUGCCACCACAUACCGCAGUAUCACCGGUGCACUGCAGUAUCUCACGUUGACGCGCCCGGAUCUUACUUAUGCUGUUCAGCAGGUGUGCUUACACAUGCACGCUCCUCGGCAGCCCCAUUGGUCCAUGGUGAAGCGCAUCCUUCGCUAUGUCCGCGGGACGGUCAGCCACGGCAUCACCAUCAGCUCCUCACCGCCGCAUGAGCUCGUCGCUUACAGUGACGCCGACUGGGCCGGUUGCCCCGACACACGAUGUUCCACCUCUGGUUAUUGCCUGUUUCUUGGUGGCUCGCUCAUCUCUUGGUCGCCCAAGAGGCAACCCACUGUGUCCAGGUCCAGUGCAGAGGCAGAGUACCGCGUUGUGGCCAAUGCUGUUGGACACAACAGCUUCUCCAGGAGCUUCACUCCAGCAUCUACAAAGCCACAGUUGUUUACUGUGACAAUGUGUCGGCCGUCUACCUCGCUCAGAAUCCUAUACAUCACCGCCGGACCAAGCACAUCGAACUCGACAUCCACUUUGUUCGUGAAAAGGUUGCUCUUGGUCAGUUUCGCGUCCUGCAUGUGCCGACCACCUCGCAGUUCGCCGACAUCAUGACCAAAGGGCUGCCGACCGCCACGUUUGAGGAGUAUUGGAAUGAGUCUGCAGGCCCACGUACUUCUCCAACUAAUCACGACCGGCAUGCCUCUGCCUGCCUCCUAGCUUCUAGGGUAGAUAGUGGGAGUCUGUUAGUUGGUUAGACAAGUACGGGUGUGCGUUGUGGUGUUGUACUCUGUAUAUAUAUGAGCUGAAGAUCAAUACAAACUGUGCGUUCAGUCUCUACAGGAAGCGAAGGCGAGCCACCGCCGCCGCCUACCGCCGGGGAAGCUGUCGGCGUCAGACAGCAGACGCAUCGCCGUGGCCGAUCUCCACCGCCCGCUCUCUCCGCAAGGCCUGCUCCCCCUCCCCCCCUUCUCCAUUCUAGUGUAAACCCUAGAUAGAUCCAUUCUUCUUUUGUUCAUCUAAUCUGUUAUUAAGCAUUUGUCUCUUGCUUAGCACUUCUGCCUGUGGACUCCAUGCAUUUUUCUUUUACCAUUGGCAGGGUUAGAUUCACUCCAGUUCAUGAUAUGUAGAUGGAUGUCAUGUCAGGGCGUACUAUGUUUUUUUAGCAGAAAGCAGAGUGUUUCGUGUGCAAUGUGCCUCGCGAAACAAUGGAAUGUAGCACGCUUAACUGUUUUAGCGUAAUGAGCGUGUGUCGUUUCUAUCGGACAUUGUUGUGGCUAGAGUACCCGACAAUGUCCUUUUCACUCUCAAGUCUACUCUUCUGAAGAUGUAUGACUGUAUGAGUCCUCUGAAGAAGUUUUGGCUGCAGGGAGGCACCAGUCAAAGCAAGUUUCUAUUUUCAGCGUAUUAUUGGGUUUCUACUAUCUUGAGCAUCAAAAUCAGCUGAUGAGUUGGAUUGUGGCAGUCCAGGAAUCAUACACUGUAAUGGGCUAGAUGUGCCCGAGGGAGUGCUUGCUUUCUACUCAUGUUCAGCUCUGGGCCGCGUAAGAAUGGUGACGGUGUAGCCCAUCAUGGUUCCUUGGUGCCUUGUGGGUGCUCUUAUUUUUUUGUUUGUUUCGCAUUUGUAGUCUCAAUGAUUUCCCCUCAUGAAACUUGAGGCUUCCCCCCUGAAUCCAAUAGCAGUAACGAAAUAUUUCACCCAAAGCCCCCAAAUAAAAUUACAUAUCUGUACAAGAGCAUGACAAGUCUUGAUACAGGGCAUAUAUUAGACCUGAAAAAUAGAAUAUGCAUGGUUCUAGCUAGCUAUCCAUCCUUUUUAUUUUUCGUUUCUUCGUCGGCUAAUCUUUCUAAUUUGUUUCUUUGAAUUUAUUGUGUUUUGCAGGGAGUUUGGCACAAUGCAAAGCCAUAGCAAAGUGCGUAUUGCCUCUGCAUCCGCACAACCUGCUGUGCUCAGGCUCCAUGGUUGGGCAGACCUUCCAGAUGGCCCGCUAAGCUCCAUUCUUGCACUGUCAGGGUCCUUCCGUGAUGUUCUUGCCUUCGCGGCAACAUGCCGCUCUUGGCGUGCGGCAUUCUCCUCAUUACAAGUUUUACAGUAGUUGGCAUUUUUUGGAGCCGUUCGUUUGUCUCGAUCUAACGGCGCAUACAUACGUAGUACUCGAAAGUACUAUUAGUCUAGGGGCAUUUUAGUCCUAAGAAAUAUAUGACAAGGUGGGGCCCUCUCGUCCAAUGCAAAACCGCCGCCCCUCUCCUCCAAUGCAAAACCGCCGCCCCUCUCGUCCAAUGCAAAGCCGCCGCCAUGCUCCUUCCCCUCUUCCAUCACCAUUGCAACCGCGGCCAUCUCCUAGCCUUCUCCUCCUUCUCGCGGCCGCAACUUUGCUCUUCUCAUCUUCCACAUCCACCCCCCUCUUCCAUCCACGCAAGAUCCUCGAUGGAGCAGCAGAUCGAGUACAUCGGCGGCGGCGAGAACGCCGACUUCGUGGAGAUCGCCGGCGGCGACCAGGUCAAGAUGGCCAGGUUGACGAAGAUCCGUUCUUGGUUUCACAACAUAUUGCAGAUGAACUGGACGGCAAUGGCCACUUUGAAGCAAAUGACGAGGAGGGAGAGGGCAAAGCUUUCCCCCCCACCCGCACAACCGAUGCACAAGGUCGAGAUCCUCCUCUGGGCGAUGGAGCAGGCCGAUUCGUCUAGCCCGUGGACCAGGUGUAGGUGGUGGGCGUUCAGAUCCAGGGUAGAGCAUCCACUGGAUCAGGAACCCACGGUGCACGAGGUGCCGUUGCAGAUUGUGGAGCCUCCAACCGAGUUGGAGAUGACUCCGAAGCGCAAGAGGAGGAGGACAGUGGUCGCGACAUCGCUUCCCCGCCGUUCUCCACGCUUCCCUCGCCGCUCUCCUUGUCUGAACGGCGGCCGUAGCUAUGUUUAGGGUAAGAUUGAUGAAUUUCAUUCUAUCAUUACUUGCCACUUGCUUAAUUUGAUUCUCUGCAAUAUGUUCUCGCUACCUGUGUACUUGAAUCCGUAGCCUCUGGAUGGCAGCUUAGUUUGAUCGACGAGGCUGUAAUGAGUCUAGGCAUAUAGCAUUGCUAUGUUUACUUGCUACAUUUUGAUGUGCUGGAGUUGUAUCCAUGAUAGGAAAUUUUGUCUGUCACCUCAAGAGUUGUGUUCAAAUUACGUGAUGCAAUCUGUGUAAAUUGAACUUGCAAUAUUUUGGCUGCAAGCAGUGCCUCCAGAAAAGUUCAGUACACAGUUUAGAGUGAUAGACUCUGGGUUGACACUGAAAUAUUUCAAUACUGCAAGUUUAGUAGAUAGUUGUAGGCAUUGAAAUAUUUCAGUACUGACAGGUUCACACUGAAAUAUUUGAGUAGUGCAAUUGCAGUACACACGGGUACACACUGAAAAAUUUCAGUAGUGCAAUGCAAUUUGAGUACACACGGGUAGACACUGAAUAUUUCAGUACUGUAGUUUCAGUACACGCACGCAACCCCAGAAAUAUUUCGGUGUAGCAGUUUCAGUACACGCGCAUAGCCACUGAAAUAUUUUGGUGGUGCUGUUUCAGUACAAGCACGUAGCCUCUGAAAUAUUUCGGUGGUGCACUUUCAGUACAUGCACGUACCCACUGAAAUAUUUCAGUGGUUCACUUUCAGUACACGCACGUACGAAAUGAAAUAUUUUAGUGGUGCUGUUUCAGUACACGCAUGUAGCAACUGAAAUAUUUCAAUGGUGCUGUUUCAGUACACACACGUAGCCACUGAAAUAUUUCAGUAAUGCACUUUCAGUACAGAGAUGUAGACACUGAAAUAUUUCAGUAGUGCCAUGUCGGUGAUCUUGCAUCCAAAUAUUUAGGGCUUCCUAAUGAUUCAGCAAAAAAAUAAACAUAAGCAGUGAAAUAAUUUUUGUAGGGAUGUUGGCUUACUCAUGUUUUAGAGUGGUUGGGCUUUUUUAGAACCGUUCGUUGAUGUCGAUCUAAUGGCAGACAAAUACGAAGUACUGGGUAGUACUCCGAUGCCAUAUCAAUGUUGCUGAUAUGAAUAUGCAUGUUUUCACCAAGUGUUUGCAGCAUGCCUGAUCAGUGAAGCAACACUGAUGCGGCAUGUCUGAUCAUUGCAGCAGCUAAAUUCAAGCAAAUCAUACAUCUAAGGAACCAUAAUGGCAAAUUUAAGGGACAGAAAUAUAGAUAGCAAUAUAUAUUACUACCAUAGAUAGCAGCAUCCACACAGCACACUUGCUGAUGCAGACACCUCGAAGUUCAGACCACUAGCAUAUUAGAUAUGUUUAGACCACACAUGACAGUACUACACUUAGAUAAAGUUCAUACUACAUUAGCACUAAAAGUUUCCACCAUCAGAAUACCACAUAAAGUUCACCAAAAGAACUGAGGCUUCCUCCAUCAUACGACAACCAGGGUCUAGGGCAACUACAUGUUAGGGUUUUUCAGGACCUUGUGGAGGGCAGAAUGCUGAGCACUGAUCUUGUAGUCAUGACUGCUGAUGGAUGUAGCCCGACAAUGCUCCAUCAGAUGCUCCUGCAACCCAGACCUGGGCUUGGGCUUGCUGCAGUAGCGGCACCUGUACUUGUCCUUCCUCCAGUUGUAGUACAUGGCAGAUCCUUGGGCCCUGAUCUUCUGCACCUCCUUCUCUUCAAAGGACUCGACGUUCCCCUCGUCCACAUCAUCUCCAGAUUCAUACUGCACACAUUAAUGACUGACAUUAAUACAUUAUGCAUUGAAAAAACUAUAAACACGUAAUACUAACUCAAUGCACAAAUAACAUUUCAACUAGGCCUUACCUCGUACGGCUCAUCUUCAUCAGAGUCAUAUGGGUAGAACCCAGUCUUUUCCCACUUCCUCUUGUUGCCCACAAGAUCCUCCUCCUCCUGCUAUAUUGUCAAACAAGCACAUCAAUUACAAUGAAUUGAAUUGAAGUUAACAGAAUGUCAUUACAAACAAAAUUGUGAAUGUGAACCACAUUGGUAUGUUGCAAGUGACCAAAUGCUUUCCUUAUAAAUAAAGAAUCUAAGCAAUCAAUCAAAAGACAAAUGAUUUCCUUCAUAAAUGCUAAUGAAAAUGCAAGCUGGAUUCUUGACAUUCCCUGAAUUUACCCAACACUUUUCUUUUGAGGGAAUUCCCCCCCACACUACUUAAUGGAAACAUAUAGUAUAUUUUGUUGCUAGGAUCCUGCCUUGGAAUGUUUACUUCACACUUUACAUAUAGUAUAUACUAAUUACAGAAGCCAACUACAAAUUUCAAUAUGCACAGAUUACUGUUUUUGGGAUAAUGCAGCAAAGCUCCUACACAUAUUAACAUAAUGCAGUAGUUAAUUAGGUACAACUUCAACUAUAAAUGCAUACAUCUCCAACAAACAUCUAAAAUUUCAUUACUUACCAAAACAACAACAAAUUAUACUAUAGAUGAAUCUUGUAUCAUCUAAAUCAAUUCAUUGGCACAUCAAAAUUAAUGCAUUCCAAAUCAAAUAUGUUUCCAUCCAGUAUCAUUGAACCACAGAUCAAAACAAAUAAUCAUAAAUGUCAGCAGCAUUGAACUACAGAUCUAAUAAUCAUAUGACAUCUAUCUGACCCUAAAUUCCCCCUUAAAUAAGGUAUUCAACCUCAUACUAAUUAAAAUCUAACAAGCAAAAAUUCAACUACUAAUCUAAUAAGCAUCUGAAAAAACCCCAAGAUGCUUUUAUCUCUGAAGCAACGGCAUUGCAGAGGAUGUUCAAUGCUGUCAAUAUGUCUGAAGCAACAACAAAAUUCCACAACUAACCCAAACUAAAUAAGCAUAGACUGCCCCUUCCCCUCGACCACGCUUCCCCUCUCCUUCAGAAGCCCCAAUCCAGCACAAAAAAAUCCAGCCCUUGAGAAGUUCUUUUGGAUUAACAUGACAACACCCAGUACAUGAGCACAUCCUUCACUAUAUUUACAACCAAACUAAUGCACCAUCUAAUCACCUCAGGUAGACAAUUUCCAAAUCACAAGGCCAUGCACAAAUCUAACCAAACAAAUUCUGGCCACAAACACUACAAUCUAAAAACUACCAACUAAAAGUGAUAAGCAGAUACCUUCUGCUCCGCCUCCUCCUCGCCGGAGCCGGCCUCCACCUUCUCCACCUCGUGCGCCUCGCCACAGCCUGCCCCCACCUUCUGCGCCUCGACAGAGCCCGCCUCCACCUUCUGCGCCUCGCCGGAGAUCGCCAGAGCGGGCGCAUCUGGCUGGACCGCGCUGCUGCGGCCCGGCCCCGCCUUCUCCAGAUCUCCAGCGGAGGGAGCACCGCGCUGGACGCCGGCACGCCCCCUCACAAAGGUGCCCGCAGCGACCUGCCGCGCCUGCUCCACCAGAUCUGCGCCCCAAUCGGGGCGCUCGCCUCCUGCGUCCGCCAUGGCGAUGGAGAGGAUGCGGUGAGGGAGACGAGGAGGUUGGAGAGGAGAGCGUUUUGGGGAGUGGGGAGUGGAGAGAGGGAGACGAUGCGGCGGGGGGAAAUGGUGGGCGAUGCGGCCGGAGGUGGUUGCCGUCCACAUUUAUAUGAUGGGAUAGUUUUGGCAACUACCCGUGACACGUGCUGCCCCACGCGCCGGCGGCUUCACGCGUGCACGAAAGGUCGCCGUAUACAAACAAAUACGUAUACGGCCGGGCAUACGAUCCUAUAUGACGACCAACACGCCCGAAACCAAGGAAGCGUGCACCCGCCGUCCCUCGUGCGCCCUUAAGGCCAGCCCAUGUGAGGGGCGGGAAGCCCCUUUCGUUUUUCCUUUUUAUUUUUUCUGUUUUCUAUUUUUCCUUUUGAAAGUAAUUCAGGAUUUCUACAAAGUUGCAAAUUGCGAAAAAAUGUUCGCAUUCCAAAGUUCUUCAUGGCUUGAAAAAAUGUUCAGGACAUGAUAAAUCUCACAGAUUCAAAAAAUGUUCGUGAUUUCAGAAAGUGUUCAUAUGUUAAAAAAUGUUCAUGAAUUUUUAGUAAAUAUUCAAAAUAUUUUGAAAAAUGUAUGAAUUUUUCAAAACUGUUCAUGAAUUCGUAAAAGAUAUUAGGAAAUUUUAAAAAUGUUCACAAUUUCAAAAAUAUAUUUCUGAAUUUGGAAAAUUUUCCUGAUUUCAAGAACAGUUCAGCGUUUAAAAAAUUGUUCCUGAAUUCAAAAUAUGUUUAUGUUUUUCUUAAGAAAGCGUGAAUUUUAAAAAAUUUCGCAAUUUCUUAAUAAUACGAAUAUUUUUUGAAGUUGAUGAAAAAAUAUAAUUCAAAAGUGUUCACCCAUUUUUUUUAAAAAAGUUCAAAUCUAAAAAAAAUCAAAAAUUAAAAAAAUGUUCUCGAAUUUCAGAAAAUGUAUGUAAAAUUCUUCGGAAGCUUCAGCAAACAUAUAUAACAGUUACCAUGUAACACAGUGGAAUAAUCAUAGCUAGUAGAGCAUUAGUUACCAGUUAAUAAUAGUUGCAAUCCAUCACAAGCAAUAGUACCUAGAUAUGAGUAGAUAUAGGUACGGUAAUACACCACAAGUACUCGCAAACAAGAGCUAACAUAAUAAGUUCAUUUCACAUUGAUACAUGGCCCACCCCAGUUCUAAAUGAGGUGGAUGGUGAUCAUCAUCCUCAAGUCAUGGCGACGGGUGUUCGCAACACUGAGUAGGAUGGCCUGUCCUACCCGAAGAUUCUUGGCACGAAGGAACUUCUUCCACCCUGCCCUGCUCAAGACAGUGCGACCGUCCGUGUCCACUGCAUAGGCACAGCUGGUGAUGGAGCCCGUUCUGGUAAGGCGUAGUCCAGCAGCCAUGCCUUCUUCGUCCGGGUCGAUGCCACAGCUAUCAAGUAACCUCUUAGGUAAUUUCUAAAAACAGUUGACAUGAUAUAUGAUCAUGUCACGUGCAAUUAUCAACAAAGCAUACACUUCAAGACACAUAUAUCAUUGGAUUCAACACUGAGCAUAUAUAUCAUCACAUCACUACACUAUACGCCAAGCAUCAAAUUACUACAGUAAUUAGGCAUAUCAUUAGAUUACUGCGUACACUAAGCAUAUCAUCGCAUAUUACUACACUACAUGCAUGUCAUAAAAUUCUUCACUAAAUGAAUUCUAAACUAGGCCUCUCAUCACAGUACUACAACAUGCAUAUCAUAUGAACUACUACACUAACUAAGCAUGCAUAUCAUGUAAUUACCACACUAAGUAACAUACCAUGAUAUGCCGUUUAACAUUCGUCCUUGUGAGGCGGGUCACGAAUGGCUUCCCUAGGUAGUCUUCACGUAGCGGAAGCAUGUCCCAGAGGUUGCCGAUUUCCUCGUCGCCCAGUCUGAGUCCUUGGGCAUACAGGUAUUCAACAAGUGGGUUCUCAUCAUCAUCUGAAUCGUCAUCAUCUGAAUCAGCACCAUCUUCCUCCUCAUGAACUUCAUCCUCACUAUCCGGAAUCAAAUUUAGAUAGAUAACAGAAAUCCUGGGCCUAUCUCUUCUGAAGGAGAAGCUGAUCAAUUCACCCCCACUAAGACGCAUGCGGGCGAUGAAACGAUCCCAAUCAUCUCCUCCUAUCUGGGUUAUCUUUCGCCCCUUCCCGACCUGCAUAGUGUAUGGGCCCCCAAGAGCGUCGAAGGUCACGGUGUCUCCGAUGAGCUCAUUGAAUGCCAAUCUCACAUUGCAUGGUACGAUCUGUGUAAGAUAAAAACAAAUAACAGACACAAUACAUUAGUGGAAAUAGCAAAAAAAAAGAAUGUACUGUCAGAAGGUUCAUAUAAAUUGUUACCGCUGCAACAACAAAAGAAGGCUGGAAGUAGAUGCCGAACAGCGUGGCAGUAGAAAGGCUGGUCUGGCACCGUGAGUUGCAGCGUCCACAUGGUGCUUCCUCCAUUCUACACAGAACAUGUUGAACUCUAAGUUGAAUUGUACAUAGUACAAUACAAAGAUCAUACAUGUAAUAAAUCAUAGUGAUAACCUAUACUGGCAAUGGCCAAUCAAUCUAUUUACUAUCAUCUACGUAAUAAAGCAAUGCCAAUGACAAUGGCAAUGCCCGUCUCAUCUAAACCUGGGAAUAGUUCGGCAUCCAAACUCAAACCAGUCCAAUCCACGGCACACAUCAAAACCAAACCAAUCCAGAUAUUUUCAUUUAGAAUCUAGACCAAACCGAACUAUACAUGCUCGUCAUCCAACCCAGUCCAAACCGUUUUCAACUUUUGGAUUGAAUCCAAAGGUUCAAACCAUAGAAACCAACUCAAGAUCCAAUCCAAAAACUAAGUUUCAGUCCAAACCAAUCGGCUCAGAUCCACCUCCGUAGGGAGACGCGGUUGGGGAAGGGAAGAAGAGGGGAGAUCUCACGUACUUGCCGGAGUUGGCGGCGGCCGCGCACCGGCAGCGAAGAGAGGGGUCGUCGGGAGAUGGCGGCGGCGGCGCUGGUCGAGAAGGGGAGAAAGAAAGAUGUGGAGUGGUCGAGACGGGGAGAAAGAAAAAUGUGGUACAUGUGGUGGCGCGGUUGUGUGGAUGACAAGGGGACCCACUUGUGAGACCGAUAGCAAUUGAUGGCAAACCGCAGGAGGUGCACGACCGCAGGAGGUGCACGACCGCGUGCACUUGUGAGACCGAUAGUACUCUGUUUUUUGCUCUCUUUUUUUCAUGUCAGAAGUGUUUUAAGCAUUUUAUCGUUUCAGGCCCGUGGGUGGUUACAGAAUGGAACACGAACAGCACGAGCCCCAUGACCCCCACGAUCACGAUAACGACGAGCGCCUCCCUCACGCGACGAACCGCCUCCCCCAGAACUCAAAAAGGCACCUUCUCCUCCAUUCCUCCCUCAUUAUGCGAACCACGUCCAUCUACUCCACAAACUGCAACCACCAUCUCUGUCUCAAAACCGCCGUCGCUGGAGAAGGGCAAUGGCAGAGGAGCCGUCUACCAAGCGUCACUGUGGCGAGACGUCCGACCAGAGCAUCAAGGAAGACGACGUUCAGGUCCCCGGUGAGAAGCGCGACUACACCACCAAACUUGACAAGGUGGAACUCCACGGCAAAGAGACGCUGGAGGUCGUCUGCACCAGCAAUCCAGACACUGCCGACGAAAUGCUCACCAGGCUCUUCAUGAAAGCCGUCGGCAGGUAUCCUAGAUUCGUCGGCGUUGAUGUGGAGUAUACCAGGGAUGACGAACCUCCGCAGUACGCAGCAGUUCUGCAGUUAUGCGUGGAUGAACUCUGCCUGGUCUACCACAUCGCUGCGGCCACAAAAUGGUGAGCCAUCCUACUCAUAUACCCUAGUUUCUCAACUACAUCUACUAGUGUAGAUUGUGAAGUGCACGCACUAGUGUGGUUUCUCAAGUACAUGCACUGGCAUAGAUUUUUACCCUGAUGCACUGGAUUAGUAUCUUAAAAUCUUGCACCAGAUUAAUCACCAAACUUGAUAUACUAGUGUAGUUUCUGAUCUUGAUGCAUUAGUGUUGUGUCUACCGCUGUGGAUGCAUUAGUGUUAUUUUCUGAAGUUGAUGCACUGGACUAGAUGUAUUAGUGUUGUGUCUACUAGUGUAGUUUCUGAUAUACUAGUGUAGUUUCUGAUAUUGAUGCAUUAGUGUCGUGUCUACCGGUGUGGAUGCACUGGACUAGAUGUAUUAAAAGUUGUUUCUGAAGUUGAUGUAGUGAAGUAGUUUGCUGUAGUGUUAUUUUCAACUGUAUGAUCCAAAAAGAGAAAUAACAUCAUGUACUUCAUGCAUUCAUCUUCAAAAUUACUACUAAUCUUCAAUAUGUCUCUCCCCUUGAAGGCCCAAGCGCCUCAAGAGCUUCCUCCAGGAGAAGAAGUUGUUCACCUUUGCCGGUUUCAGCAUUCAUAAUGACAAAUAGAUGCUGAAGAUGUCUGGUUUGGAGAUCAAUCCCGAAAAGUACAUCGACAUUCAGAAAAACUAUAGAGUUCCAUAUGCCGGCAGAAAGAAGCAGUACGACUCCUUGGCUGAUGUUGCAGCCAACGUCAUCCACCCAUUUUACCAAAACAUGAAGAAGAAGAUCAACAGGACCGAAGACCAUAAACUGUGGGGGAUCAGCCCGCUACCAGACUACCUCAUCGAGUACGCAGCGAAGGAUGCGUGCGCCACCUACAAGGCUUGGAAGAUAAUAGACAACAUCAAAUCAGGUGUGGAAAUUUCAGAAGCACAGGAGGCGUAUUCCGUGGGCGACCGGCGUCUCCGAUCUGAUCUUGCAGCGGUCGUGGGAGGUGCGGACGGCCCGGGUGGUUAGAAUGCGGAGCUGUAAUCGCGGGAUUUAGGGAGGGGUGGGCCGCGUGAGUUAUGUGAGAUUUGGAUAAAUGAUAUAAAAAAAUAAGAAAAUCUUGUCAACUCGUUUAGGGGUUUAGGGUUAUUAGGGUUUAGGGGUUUAGGGUUUAGUGGGGGGGNNNNNNNNNNNNNNNNNNNNNNNNNNNNNNNNNNNNNNNNNNNNNNNNNNNNNNNNNNNNNNNNNNNNNNNNNNNNNNNNNNNNNNNNNNNNNNNNNNNNNNNNNNNNNNNNNNNNNNNNNNNNNNNNNNNNNNNNNNNNNNNNNNNNNNNNNNNNNNNNNNNNNNNNNNNNNNNNNNNNNNNNNNNNNNNNNNNNNNNNNNNNNNNNNNNNNNNNNNNNNNNNNNNNNNNNNNNNNNNNNNNNNNNNNNNNNNNNNNNNNNNNNNNNNNNNNNNNNNNNNNNNNNNNNNNNNNNNNNNNNNNNNNNNNNNNNNNNNNNNNNNNNNNNNNNNNNNNNNNNNNNNNNNNNNNNNNNNNNNNNNNNNNNNNNNNNNNNNNNNNNNNNNNNNNNNNNNNNNNNNNNNNNNNNNNNNNNNNNNNNNNNNNNNNNNNNNNNNNNNNNNNNNNNNNNNNNNNNNNNNNNNNNNNNNNNNNNNNNNNNNNNNNNNNNNNNNNNNNNNNNNNNNNNNNNNNNNNNNNNNNNNNNNNNNNNNNNNNNNNNNNNNNNNNNNNNNNNNNNNNNNNNNNNNNNNNNNNNNNNNNNNNNNNNNNNNNNNNNNNNNNNNNNNNNNNNNNNNNNNNNNNNNNNNNNNNNNNNNNNNNNNNNNNNNNNNNNUCGACCGACAUACUUCGUGCCACAUAGAGCAUGCAUCCAUCCACUGAACCGGAUCGAUGUUGGGUUGGUUUACAUGUACAUGUACAGGGACCGGAAAUGCGCGUGUCAGAGAUCGUACUUGCGUGUACAUGUACUAAUGAUCCCAAACUUUCAUCAUGGCAUCCCAUGACCCCAUAGAGAAUUCAUGCAUAAUGGUUUCCAUGUGGGGCAAAAAUUUGAAUGUUUUUACGGUUUUGUGUGUCUGUGUGGUGGGGGGGGGUGGUUAGGGUUCAGGGUACAUGCCACAUUGUUCACAUUGUCCAAUUAACACUUUGUAUAGAUUUUUUGGGUAAAAAAUGAACGAAAUGAUGCAACUAAUCUGAACGUAACGUUUGGCAUGUAUCAAACCAAGUAGCCACUAUUCCUCAAAAAAAAAACCAGUUAGCCACUAAUUGCGCCAAACAUAUCACGUAAUAAAUGGGUUGACAAUUAUUUCUUGAAAUUCAUGGAAGGAAUUUAUUGCUCUUCCUUUUUUAGAGAACAAUAAGUUACAAAUUUUAUUUUGGAAACAAGAAAUCAGUUUUCAAUUUUAUUUGUCCUUUCCAAUAGAUUUCAAAUGAGCUUUUCCUUGGUCUGGUCAUACAAGGCAUUAAGCACACAUGACAUUGCUUAUACAGAAGCUGACUGAAAUAAUUUGUUAACAACUACUAACGACUGAUGAUCAACAAGUAAACAAAUCCCACAACAAUUAUUGAAAAAUAAAAUCCCGCGGCCAUCUGAUUUGCGUGCUUCUUCAGAUCGAUCAACUGCCUUAAGUUCUUGUUCAUCUUCUUCAAUUCCACCUUGAGUUCCGCAUCCGCCACCAUCGGAGGAACAUUGGCAUAGCCCUUAUCAUCCACCGCCGAUGGCAGAUCUACCUCUAGGGUUGCCACGUGCCUCAAAUCAAUGAAGCCAUCCGUUUGAAGCCUCUCAACGUAUUCAUCCAGCCACUCAAAAUGCUUGCAUGUUUUCAGGUUCUGAAAAAGGGAAGGGAAACCCUAAAUACCAAUUCCGAGGAAAUAUAAAUAAAUCUGGGGUCAGAAUUCAUAGCAAAAAGACACAACAGAACAUAGAUUUAACCUUCCCCGCUUCUGGUUUGCUCUCGCAUUUCACAAAUUCCCGCCCAUGGUUUCCAUUCUUCUCCGAUAUGGUUGUCAAACGCUUCAGUGGCGCGAUGCGUGGGCAGUCGGGGCAUCUGGUCAUCGGUAGUGAACCAUACCACGGCCAUGAUGACGGAGAGGCCGAACUGGACAUGGACAUCUCUCGUCUCUCACCGUCCGGCGGCGAUGGCAGGCUUCGUCGCCGGAGAAGAAUAAAAAUUUGGUGGGGCAAGGGAAAGGGAGGCAAUGGUGGGCCGCGGGUUGGCACGGGCAUGGCGAUGGCUCGGGCUUGUGUGAUAUGUGGUUGGACCCGCGGUCAGUGCACAUGUUUUGGAAGCCCCCAAAAGAUCGUGCUCCUUAAAAAAACUGCAUCAAAGCGCAUUACUUCAAAAUAACUAAUUAUCCCUACAAUCACGGAUAUAUACCUUCCCAUUCUACCGCAUAUCAACCCUAUCCUAACCACCCCCAUCUACCUUGUUUCUCCUCACAUAGCCAUCGCCGGGAUCGCGCCAUCGCUUCUAAAGCGACCACGCCGACGCCGGAUUAAAAAGGUCUCCUUCACGGCUCCUCCCAUCUUCGAUUGCAGUGCUGAUUAUUUUUUCCAUUGAUUCGACCAAGAAGUCAUUUCCGAAGAGAUUAGAAAAUACAGCCUUUGCCAUAGUUGAGUAGUUCUGGUGUAAUUGGAGUACAGGAUGUCAUGCAAGAGCUUUUUGAUUGAUAGUUUGUAGUAGUUGUUCGUACGAACUGGUUAUGAAUAUAUUUUCUCGGUGGUAUUGUUAGGAAUUAGUUGGAUGAGGUUGUGGAUACAGUUUUCAUACUAUGGGUAUAUGUGUUGUUGUAGGGACCAUGGUCUCAGAGGCGCAUAACAACCAUGCGGAGUAUGACAAGUCUUUGCAUGAAGCGCGCCGGGAGAUCGACUUGAAGGUGCAAAAGGAUCGCGCUGAGGUAGAUAAGAAACUCAAAAAAGAACGUUCAUACGUGGACAGGAUGAUAAAGGAGGAGCGUGAGGAGUUUUCCCGUAAGAUGGCGAAGAUGCGUCUUGAGAUUGAAGAAAAGUAUAAGCGGGACUGUGAGGACUUGGAAAAAAAGUUUUUCCUUGGCUACAAGGAAAUGCAUCAAACGUUGCAGAAGGACCGGAAGCUUGUGGACAGUAUUAUACAGACAGAGCGAGUCAGGAUGGAUGCCUAUGUGUUGCAGGCACGUUCGGAUAUGGACAGCAAGCUGCUACAGGAGCGGUCGGACAUGGAUUAUAAGGCCAUGCUGGAGAAGGUCCGUUUGGAAGGACAUAUGUUAGAAGCCCGUGCGAUCUCACGGCCACCCCGACAACAUGUCUUCAAUUUUUCUCCCCCUGUAAGUAUUUCGCACCGAUUGUAUAUAUUAAGGACCUUAGUAUUCUAUGAUACAAACAUCUUCAAUUUGUGGCAACCUUAUGUCGGCGAUUGUAUGUAGGCUAAGCAUCAUGAGACGGCACAGUCGCCAUCCACUCGAGAAAGUGCGAUAGAGUCACCCGUUCAAUGCCACAUCACUCCACCCCAACAACAUAUCUUCAAUUCUCCCCUUGUAAGUACCUCCCAACGAUGCCAUACAAAAGAUAUGGUAUGACCUUUUAAAAUUUGUGUGUAAACCCACUGUUGACGUUUCAUACGCAGGAUAAGAAACGUGGGAUGGCAGAGUCCCCAGUCACACCACAUGAAGGAUACAUUCCACAUAACAAGGUGAGAAGGUUUGAGAUGGCACAAUCCCCAGUCACUCGACAUGAAGGAUACAUUCCACAAAAGCAGGUAACAACACCGCAAUUUUGCUAUGCACAUAAAAAAUUAUGUUUGCCCCUUUACUCAUUUAAUGUAUUAACUCUGAUGUGAGAUACUAGGUGCUGGUCAUGGAAUUUAUUGUUAGUAGGGAUGAUGAGAUGUCACAUGUCCCGAGAGCAUACUUUGAUGAACACCCGGCAGAAGUCCGAAUUUUUGAACCCCUCAAAGUGACCUACGAUCUCAUUAUGAGUGAAAUGAGAGAUACUUUUGGUUGCAAACUGGGAGCAGAACUGUACUACUUCUUACCCGGGUCUGCGUGGAAGCUGCCAGAAGGAAUGUUCUUGAUUGCAGGACCAGAUGAUGUAGAAAAAAUGCUUUCUGAUCUGAAUGGCAGCAAGAAAUGUCACCUGUACAUUGUGUACAAUAGAACUACGGGUCCUUAUCCCGAGCAUGACUUUGAUCCAGAGGUUCAAAUUUUACAUGUUACAUGCAUCUAGUUUAUGGCUACGUCAUUUUUAAGUUCUUCCUAAUACAAUUCCUAUGGUUUUCUACAGGAAGUGAGAAUCCAAGAAAUGGAGGGUCUUGCUAGAGAGUUGGCGGAGAAAGAUCAAGAACAACUUCAGUUGUAUGGUUACAUUGAUGUUAAAGAGAAAAAGAUUGAAGCACAUGGGUCGUCGCCAAGCCCGACGCAAUCUCCAACGUCGCAACGCAAGAGGUCACUGGAUUUUGGCAGUGCAGAAGACCAUAUGGAGUAGGCUCAAUUGUUUUUCAACCAGUUUAAGCUUCAAACCAGGAUUAUUUGUUGCAAACAAACAUUUUUUUUCUGUUUCACACUAUGUUCGCAAUUAUGGUACAAUUUAUUCAUGAGACAGUUCUUUGAACAACAAUGCAUGUGUUUUAUGAUCAAUCAUACAGUUGUUUCUGAGUUGUUUGUGAGAUGGCAUUGCAUCUAAAGAAGUUUCCAUCUAUAAAACUUGUAAAAAAUCAUUUAUGUUGUCUUUGUUGAAACUGUUUUUUCGUGCCUUUCAUCUACACGUGUAAUCAUUAUAGCCUACAAAACCAUACAACGUCGCAAAACAAUUUCCAGUUUGCAUGGAUGCUUGUCAUGUUGGUACAAGGGUUUCAAAAAAAAUUUGGGUCCAUUUCAAGCAUGCCGAAAAAAUCCGUCUUCCCAGACGGAACACCAAUUUUUUCCAUCAAGCGCACAAGCACACCCCCGUGGGCCGCGUGAAAUCUGAGCUAACCCCAAAACCUGCUGGUUUUGACGUCAAUUAAGAUAGAAAUAUCAAGGGAAGAAGAUAGAAAUAUCAAGGGAACAAGAUAGAAAUAGCAAGCAAAACACAGAUAACCAACGUCGGCCACCCGCGCUCGCAUGCAUGCACGUCCGCCACCCGCGCUCGCAUGCAUGCACGUCCGCCACCCGCGCAUGCAAACCCACGUCGCCGCCCUUCCCAUGCAUGCAGGCCUCAGGCGCAGACAACGAGAUGGCCCAACGGUCCAUCCAGCGACCCAGCGGGUGAGGCUGGCGUGGGACGGCCCACCCGAAGUAGGCCCAAGCGAGCUUCGCGCCGGGCACAUCCCAGGGGUGCAGGGAGUUUAGUCCCACCUCGCCGAGCGAGGGGAGCUAGCACCGGUUUAUAUAGCGCGCUGAGCUUUCCCUCUCAAGUUCCUUUCUAAAGCGGGCAGCACAUUGCCUAACCGUCUCCGUCCCUGCCCUGUGGGGCCUACUUGCUACCUGUUUUCACAAUCUGGCGGGCCUCUGCAUCCUGGCCCAAUAAAUGAUUGGGUUACUAGUCGUAUGCAGGCCGUUGAAUUGGGAAAGCGGGCAAGUAGACGGGAUUUUUUUGCACCGGCCCGAUUACUUUUGUACACUGGGGGUAUACAUGUAUUGUACGUGGGCGAUUCGUUUUACCUUGUCACGUGCGGCGGUCGUGGGCGUGGGCGGCGGCGGUCGAGGGCUAGCCACGCGGCCACGCGGCGCACGAAAACUUCCAAAAACGUCGGUCUAUGCCUCAAGGGGGCAUUGUAAAAUACUUUUUUCCAAAAAUUUCUUUCAUAGACAUGUUUGGCACAUGUGUGUCACCAUGUACAAGAAAAUUGGGGUGAUUUGGAGGUGGUGGAAAAAUUCACCUUUUUUCAAAAACUGGCUUAAGACCAAAUGGUCCCUCCGGAAUGCGGGCAUUUUUUCGACCACCUCCAAAUCACCUCAAUUUUGGCACACAUGAUCUCUUGCACAAACAAUGCUAGGUUUCCAAGGUUUUGUAUUUUUUUGAAUUUAUAAUGCCCUCUAGACUGACUGCUGAAAACAUCGGUCUAUGCCUCAAGGGGGCAUUGUAAAAUAAUUUUUUNNNNNNNNNNNNNNNNNNNNNNNNNNNNNNNNNNNNNNNNNNNNNNNNNNNNNNNNNNNNNNNNNNNNNNNNNNNNNNNNNNNNNNNNNNNNNNNNNNNNNNNNNNNNNNNNNNNNNNNNNNNNNNNNNNNNNNNCUUUCAUAGACAUGUUUGGCACAUGUGUGUCACCAUGUACAGGAAAAUUGGGGUGAUUUGGAGGUGGUGGAAAAAUUCUCCUUUUUUCAAAAACUGGCUUAAGUUGACCAAAUGGUCCCUCCGGAAUGCGGGCAUUUUUUCGACCACCUCCAAAUCACCUCAAUUUUGGCACACAUGAUCUCUUGCACAAACAAUGCUAGGUUUCUAAGGUUUUGUAUUUUUUUGAAUUUUUUUGAAUUUAUAAUGCCCUCUAGACUGACUGCUGAAAACAUCGGUCUAUGCCUCAAGGGGGCAUUGUAAAAUAAUUUUUUCCAAAAAUUUCUUUCAUAGACAUGUUUGGCACAUGUGUGUCACCAUGUACAAGAAAAUUUGGGUGAUUUGGAGGAGGUGAUUUGGGUGAUUUGGAGGAGGUGGUGGGCAAUGUCAGUUCGAAAACUCUAGAGAUACUUCCUCAACCAAUGAUGCGACCCAGGGACCUUCAUGCAAAAACUAGGCACCUGCAUGCAAGAGUCGGGGACCUGCAUGUGAAUAGUGAUUCAUCAAGGCCUUGACAGCUGCUGGCACAGCGGCUGCCGCCCAAUUUGCAUGCAGCGAAGAUGAACGUGCAUGGAGGUUUCUCAAAUAUUUCCAAGCACACCCUACUGGCCCCCGCUUAUUUAAAAAAUACAUCAGUCAUUAAUGAUCUAUAAAUGAAGAAUAUGCAUGAUGAUUAUGAAUAUGCGUGCAGAAAUACAUCACAAAAAUUAUUCUACUCGAAAAUAACAAGUGCUCCAUGCUAGCCCUUAUUCCUGUUCGAAAUACAUCAUCAUUCUUAAAGUUGGACAUCAAAUGAUACACACAGAAAAUGAAAACGAAAGAUGUCGAACUAAUACAGUAACAUGGCAGUACAACCGCACUUCACUAAAUUACUGUCACGAUGAAAUAGAAUGUAAAGACCACGUCACACAAAGCUGAAUGGCACACGACUUUCUCUGGCUCAUCGUCAGUUCAUGCUGUAUGUAGACAUCACAGUUCAGCCUCGAGAUCCUACACAGAAGAAUAGAAUAAAUCACAUGGACAUCAAUUAUGAGUAAAACACAUGCAAAAAAUAAAUAUGAACAUAUUUCGUACCUCUAGCAAUUUAGCGCAUUUACGUCGAUUGUGACCAGGAUUCUUGCAAUAGCCACACAUAUUCUGUGAUCUUGACUUCUUUGUCUUUGCCUGCAGCCUUUUCUUCGGUGCACCUCGGCCUGGCACAUGCACGGGAUCCAGAACCUUAUCAACUUUCUCCGAGUGCGGCAUCAACGGGCCAAACCUAAUGCUGUUAUGCUGAGCAUUAGUUGACUCCUUGUUGUCAGCUUGUUCAAAACAUGAUUGCUUGCCAUGAUGUUGUGCUUCCAAAAGCAUCUUUAGACGGUGAUAGUCCUCAUCAGAGUGGCAUGCCUUGAAACUUGCGGCGUGACUACAAUUCCGCAACUCGCGGUACCUCUGCAGGCUUACCGAAUAGUCAUACAUCUGGUUUUUUCUGGUAGGUGCGUAUGCACAUUUUGCAUUCAUAGUCCACCUAGUGGGAACGCAACAACUGGGCAGAAUUGUUUGUUUUAAAAUCCCGAAUAUGUAAAAAAUGUGGGAACAUGGUGUGCCUGCGCAUUCCAGCUUACGGCAAGAACAACUCACCCUGUGCAAAAGACCUCCUUGCUCUUCAGUGCGCACUCCAAACUUUUUAUCCAUUCUUUCCUGCUUGGACACAACAUAAGUGGAAUCUUCUGAUCCAUCUAGUAUCUCUCUCAUCUGACAUUUGCUGACAGCAUCUAUGCUCCAUAAGACCAUCUUAAAGACACUAGGUGUGAAAACUGUUGCGGCGUGUUUCUCAAGCGGCGAAGCAUUUUCCUCUGUAAAUGGAACGGACUGCAAGGCUUCGACGUCUUGGAGAGCUUCGUUAAUCCGUCGCGACGCAAGGCAACGCUCAUAGUGCUCUAGCAUUUCAAACAACGACAUCUUACCCUCAAGAUGCGUAUGUAGCACAGAGUUCAAGCUCUCACUCCUCUGAUUGCUGCUCAAUCCUAGGAAACAACGCCCCUCAAGAUAUGGAGCACACCACAACUUUCUCAUCUGAUACAUCUGAUGCAGCCAAGACUCCUCACUGGUUACUUUAUUCCGUUGUAAGAAUUGUAUCCAUUUUAUCUCAUGCUCUUCAAUGAAAGAAGUAUCAUAAAUGAAAGAUCUGAAUUCCUCCUUUACGUCGUCAUCAUGCAGAUGGCGUACAAUGUUCUGCUGAAUGUGCCAUAUACAUAGUCUAUGGUUUGAGUCUGGCCAGACCACCCUGAUUGCUCUCUGCAUUGCAAGGUCCCCAUCUGUGAUCACAGAUAUCGGAUGCUUCUGUGCCAUGCAAUCAGAAAAGGUCCGCAACAUCCACUCGUAUGCCUGGCUUGUUUCAUGAGAAAUUAUACCACCGCCAAAAAUAACAGUGCUGCGGUGGUGAUUCAACCCGACAAACGGCACGAAUGGCAGAUUGUAUUUGUUGGUUCUGUAUGUGCUAUCGAAAACAAUGACGUCUCCGAAAGCCUCGUAGUCAAGUCGCGAUUGACUAUCAGCCCAGAACAGUCCCUUCAGAUGGCCAUGCUCGUCUACCAAGUACUUGAAGAAAAAAUCCACAUCUCGCUCUCGCCUCGCCAUCAUGUGCAUGAUCACCGUAUUAGCAUCACCGACACUGAUUGUCUCCUGCUUAUUAGCAUGGCAGAAAUUAUAAAUGUCCCUCUUUAUGCAUCCAACCUUAUCAAAUCCACCGUAUUGAAAGCACAAAAUAUCCAUAAUACGGUAUUUGCGGAUCCCACAUUUUUCCAUGUCCGCAAUGUCCGCUUUCUGCUCAUCGCUAAUUCGUCUGUGCGAACGCAGCAGACAAGAAAGAUCCCGUGGGGCUAGAGGAUGGAUGUGCUCAUCGAUGAAAUCCUUGACAAACCACCGACCGGUUUCCUCCUGUCUCGUAAUGACCAAUUUAGCAUUACACCCAACACGAGUUAAACUUCGUGGCCUCCUCUUUCUAUCUUCCAUCUUUCUUUUCAUGUGCUUCUCUUCGUGAAACCCUUCACGACUACACACAAUUUUCCUUAAAAUUAUGUAUUUGUUGGAUCCAUCCCACUCAACGUAGCUUUUCCUCACACUAAAACCUUUUUCAAGAGCAUAUUUGUUGUAGAAUUCAUAGCCUUCAGCCUCACUAUCAAACAUCUUGCUGACAACAUUUAGAUACUCGAACAUACUCUCAUCACUUGCAUACGCCAUGUCUUCCUGCAUAUGACAUGUGAGGGAAACCAAUCAUCAACAUCUUUCUGUUUAUCAAUGUUGCAGGUGUAAAAUAGCUCAUAGGCAAAGACAAGUGCAUGGAAAAGACUUUGCUCGUUUGACAUGUGAGGGAAACCAAUCAUCAACGCCCAAGUUUAAUUCCCCGCAAGAUCGGACGGCUAAUAAAAAUCAGACGUGAUCAGAGAUGUAAGUACUGCUAAAUUGAAUUGCAUGCACUAGGAAAACCUAAAUCGAUGAUGACUAAACAAAUCUAAGUAGGAAGUGCAGGCUACGAAUCAAAGUAAGUUGAGAUUCAGGCGAUUCAUACCUUAAGAUGCAAGUCCGGAAGCGAUGGGAUCAGUGGGGGGCUUUCUCCUAUACCGCCGCCGCCGUCGCCACCGACACUGCCGCCGCAGAUGUCACGCCUUAUUCUUCUUCCUGCCGCCGACCACGUCUUUUAUAGUGAAGGGGACCAGGAGGAGGACGAGAACGACGCCGAUGACGGUGAAUUGGUUCCUCUCGCCGGGCUCGUCGGACAGAAGGAAGAGGACGAGAAGGAGGACUUGACCGAGCUACUAGAUCUAGACGUGGUUCUGGUCGAGAAGGAGGACUUGACCGAGCUACUAGAUCUAGACGUGGUUCUGGUCGUGGACGUGAUCGGUUGAAUUUUUUUUUACCCUGGACCAUUAUGCCCUUCUCUGAUUAAACUAAUUAAGUUAAUUCAUUUUUAAUCCCCCACCAGAUCGGACGGCUAAUAAAAAUCGAAGGGGUAAGUACUUGAAAGUACUCCCAGUACCGCCCCAAUCACCGUAAAAGGGCUCUCUCCUCAUACCCAAACAAAUCUGCCUUCUGCACCAGAUUCCCACCUCUCCUCGUCCAAUUCAAUGUCUGUGUUCAAGCUCCUGAUCUCCCGUCUAACAAUGGUCAUUACGAGCUACGCACAUGUAAGGUCAUUGAUCCAAUCAACAGGAACAUUGCCCUUCGCUGCCAGAUUCCUCAAGAAAUUUAUCAGGAGAUGCAUUUUGCUGGCACUUCCUAUGGUCAACUAAUUUGCGGCCGUGCUGGAUAUUGUCUUGUUGUUGAUGUGUUCAGUGGUGCCGUGGUUUCUCCCCCACGUCUCCCAUUCAGCGGUGAUUUUGAGUUUGGGAGGGAGUUCUACUUCAGUGGCACUUUGACGGCUCCCAUUGCAUCACCCAACUCACACCUCCUUGUCAGUACUGCAAUAUCCCUGUUUGAUUGGCCGGUCGGAAGUAACUCUUGGUCUGAACUCCAGCUUUCUGAUGAAUCGAUAGAACAGAUUGUGGAAUUCAAUGGUCAGUUCAUCGCCAUGGAUGAUUGUUAUAAGAUCUACGCCUUGCAGCUGUCCCCCCAGCUUGGUCUGCAGGAGAUAACAACUGAGUGGGUCGGUCACCUGUCCCCAAGCUCGUACACGAAACCAUGGCUAGUGGUCUGCGGCGAUAUGCUUCUCAUGGUUUCCUGUUUCUGGACAGUGAGCUCAGGCAGCUCAGUGAGCCCCGGGCCGGCAAGCUGCAGCCCCUUUGGGUGUAUCCAAGCAUGUUCUACACUGAUGCGCAGUGACCACCGUGCGCAUCCACGGGCUUGCUGCUCCACAAGCUCCUGAUGAAAAUCCCCCCCUGCAACACAGAGUAGGGGCUUUUGCAACUUGGGCGGUGCCAUCGUAGCAUUAGCACUUAGAACAUUUGUAGCAGUUUGGUAAACCAGUAUCUAGAGCCUGGGAGAUUAGUGCUUAGAGCUAGUUAGGAGUAGUCAAGCUUCUAAGUCAGUACUAUUACUUCAGCUGUGUUGUUUAAUUAUGCGCUGGAUGAUGUGUAAUACUUUGAACUACCUGUUUCUUGUCUCUGCUCCAGUGACACGACUUCUAAGCUUCUACGUCGCGUUGACUCAGUUUCAUUGUACGUAUUUCUGCAUGCCCUUGGCUUCUAUCACUGGACAAGCUCGUUGAUUGGAAGUUCUGGUACAAUGGUAAAGAAGACCAGAACUGUCAAUGUUAUUGGAAUGGAUAAUCAGAAUUGCUUGUGCAAGAUUUUACUUUGGUCUGGGAGCUAAAAUAUACCACUAAUAGCAUCAGAUUCACCUCGAUGCAAUACUGUGUUGCUGUGUAAUAGGUAGCUCAUUCUGGCAUGUUGUUGAAGGAUACUUUGACAAGAACCCUCCUGUGUAUCUUCAGUUCCAUCGCUGGUCUGCUCCUUUUCUCUGUUCAGAGAACACAGUCUGAACAUGUGGUGUUUGUUCUCUUCCUCCUAUGAAGUAUAGACAGAAUUACAAUUACAGUAAAAAGUAGGAAAUCCAAAGAGAUUCAUAUUCCAACUUGUCUAUUGGAUAGUUCAUAAAACAAAAUGCAGGAUUAUACAUUUUGGAGAGGUGGUGGCGAGCCAAAGUUCAAAAUGUUUUGAGAUAAAAAUUGAAGUCUGCUAUUUUAAUCAGAAUCCAAUCCAAGCCUACUUUAUUUGUUACAUAAAUAAAUUCCAUCGGGAGGACGAUGCUCCUUGCCAACAUAGCAGCCCCUGACACUGAAAUGAGGUGUGUGUCGACCUUCGCCAAUUGCAUCUCCAUUGUGUCUUCCAUCAAUUUCUCUGAUAAGCUGAAUAACAUGUGGGGUUUUCGUUACCUCAAAUAUUUCCUUCAGGUUUUUAUGCUAGGCCUCGCUCAGCGCAGCCCACUGAACAGGAGCAUUUGGACUUAAUGGGCCGAUGGUCCUAGCAGCAAUGACAACAAAAUCAGUUAAGUAAUUUUAGUUCCAUAGCACCAGAGCAUAGCUCCAAGAGAAUCCUUGGCAUAUAAAAGGGGAUUUUAUCAGUCAUGUCAUGCUCUAGUAAUUUACACAGCAGCACAAGACCAUUUCAAGAAACCGUUAAAUAUAAUGAAGAACAAGUAUUUGAUGCAAAGAUUGUUGAUAUGAUGUAGCUUAACAGCAGAGAAGAUUACAAACUAUAAUUUCCAGAAAAAGCAUAGAGUGGAGGUCAACCCUUAAUUUAAAGUGAAUGGACAAACCAUACAAUCUGAUUUACAUGUAGAUAUGAUUUUUAAAGUUUUGAACAGAAUACUUAAAAUGCUACUCCACAGUCAAAGUUCUAAAACGUUGACUAAACGCGUGUCUAAAACAUCAGCUAUUUGUGAUAUAUACGAGAUUACAAAAUGGGCCUCACAAAAGGAUAAAACCUGGAUCUAUGCUGGGCAUGUAAAGUGAUGACCGAUGAGUCAUAUGGAUUACUGAUCUUGCAUGACAGUCAGAUAACAUGUGUCAAAAAGUAUAUUUGAUGAUCAUCCAAGAUUAGACUUGUAGCACCACCUAACACAAUCAUACCAAAUGAUCAGUUAGAAAAGGGGAAAAACAGACACUUUACAAAAGCUAUCUAGGAAAGAAAUGGGAUGCAGCAAAUCAUGCCAUGAUACCUAUAAAUAUAAUACCAAAGAAGAUCCUCAUCCAUCAUCCUUUAACCAAAUAUAUAUAUCAAAUCAAACUAAUAACCAGACAUCAUGAAGACCUUGUUCAUCCUCGCUCUCCUCACCCUCGAGGGGACCAACGCUGUUGCGCAGUUGGACACUACCUGUAACCAGGGCUCCGAGCAAUGUCAGCAGCAGCAACAACCAUGGCAACAAUGGCAGCAGCAGAUGGACCCAUGUGUGCAAUUCCUGCGGCACCAAUGCAGCACAGUGACACUGCCAUUUGUGCAGUCGCGUAUGUGGCAACUUAGCAGUUGCCAUAUAAUGCGACACCAGUGCUGCCAGCAGCUAGCGCAGAUCCCAGAACAGUUCAGGUGCCAUGCUAUCCACAACGUGGCUCAAGCCAUCAUGCAGCCGCAGCCCCAACAGCAGUGGCAGGGCAUGUACCAGCCCCAGCAACAAGCUCCGCUUGAGAUCAUGAUGAUGUCGCUUCAGAUCUUGCCGUCGAUGUGCAGCGUGUACGUCCCGGCAUACUGCCAGGUGUAGCGGUGGAUGAGUCUGUGAAUCAGUAAGAGUGCCUGUACUAGUUGCAACUUGGAAAUAACAACCAACAUCUGUUUCUGGAUGAAUAAAGGAUUUUCCUGACUAACAUUGCAUGUCUUGCAUGAUAGAUGAAAUCUAAGACGCAUCUGACUGAACUGGACCAUCAUCAUACUCUGUGCCUCAAAAGUUUACAGCAUGGAGAGAGAGAGAGUACAUGAAGAAGAUGUUGGAAAUAUGAGCAAUUUACCAAAUGAUUUUAUUAGCAGAAAUACUAGAUAAAGCAUGACUAAUAUAGCAGAGAUAAAACAAGUCAUGCUAUCUGAUAGAGAGAAGGUAAAUAGCAUCUGCAUGUGUGAACUAGAAUCAAACAUAUCUAGAGCAGACACUAGAGCCAGAAACUGCAGGAGAACCUCAAACAGAAAGAGCAUGAAUAUGUAGGUACAGCAGCAGAAGCACUGGUCUUGGGGUCAGCAUCCUUGCCAGCCAUGUCGUCGAAGAGGUUGUCGACGUCGGGGAAGAAGUCAUCGUUGAGGAAGUGGUCGUCGGUGUCUGGAGCGUCCAUGAUCAACAGGUCAGUAGUCGCGUAAAGCGCUCCCCAAAAACCUUAUCACCCUUCUCCCGUACAGGACUGAAAGAGGUGCGGUUCCGGAGGCCUACUGUCCCAACUUGCAGUGCACGCCGCAAAGCGGGAUGUGGAAGAUCGUAGCAGCAGCUCAAAGAUUGGAACUCAGUGGCGAGAGGGAGAUUAUCCAGCAGUCGAAGGGAUGUGCCGUUCGCAUUCAGUCUCCACUAUAGUAAAAAUCUUUUCAGCUUCCAUGUGACUUUUCGUAUACCAGUUGUGCGUGGCAAAAAUUUAGACAUCGGCUCAUUCCCGCAACCCGCGGCUCGUCGUGCCGAGGCGGGCGGCGAAGGAGUACGCGUGAAUGUCCCUCUUGUUCUCAUGCUCAUACAUGUGGGGAAACAACCUCCCUUGUAAGGAGGUCCAACUCCGACCAAACUAGCAAUGUGGGACUAAACUUUGGUUCCACCUCUUGCAUUGCACGAAUGGGCUGUGUGGGCCUUUAGGAUUUAUUAGGAAUUUCUGGAAUUGUAUUGGACUGGCCCAAAAUAUGGAUAAAAUUCCAGCAGAAGAGAGACCAGAUCAAGGGAUAUACAUACAUGAACGAGCUUUAUACAAAAAAUUAACGGAUUUGAUAACAGCAUUGGCAUACCCAGACUUCUUGUUCAGUACAAAUGAUAAACCUCAACCAAAAUGCUACAAAUCAAUUAAAUGUUACUCAGUACAAACUAAUUGAUUGAGAAACGGAAGAGACAGGUAAGGGUGGGUGAGCGCGAAAAAUGCCAACGAAGGCCGAGCUCUAGUGAGCUCAUUUUCAAAUUUUAUUUUUCCGGAGCGCAAAAAAAUCCAAAUUUUAUCUAGUGAGCUCAACGAAGACGACCGCUUGCCAGACGCCGGGACGCCGACUCCACCGCCUGCUCUUUCUGCAAGGCCUGUGCUCUCCCCCCUCCACUCUCUCCCAAACCCUAGAUAGCUCCAAUCUUUUUUAUUUGUUCAUUUGUCGCUUAUAUUUGUUCAUGUAGCAACAGCGCGCUCUGUGUUUGUUGGCAGGAUUAGAUUCAUGCAAGUGCAAGAUAUCUGGGAUGGAUGUCAUGUCAGGGUGACAGGGUCUACUUUAUUUUUCUUAGCAGAAAAAUAGAUUGUUUUGUGUACAACGUGCCCCGCGAAACAAUGUAAAGCAGCACGCAUAAAUAUUUUGGUGCACUGAGCGUUCUCGUAUCUAUGGGACAUUGUUGUCGCUAGAGUUUCCGGCCAGGACCUUUUCACUCUUCAGUCUCGUGUUCUGAAGAUGUUAUGUAGCUUAUCCAUUAGACCUAUUUGAAGAGGGUUCCGUUACUAACAUGUUUACUUUCAUUGUAGGUAACGUAUUUGGUUUCAAAGCCCUACGUGCUCUACGUUUGGAGGAUCUACGAAUUCCCCCUACUUAUUCAAAAACUUUCCAAGGCCUGCCUCAUGGUAUCCAAGUUGAAAGAGAUAAGUUGAACAAGUAUGGUCGUCCUUUAUUGGGAUGUACUAUUAAACCAAAAUUGGGAUUAUCCGCAAAAAAUUAUGGUAGAGCGUGUUAUGAGUGUCUACGUGGUGGACUUGAUUUUACCAAAGAUGAUGAAAACGUAAACUCACAACCAUUUAUGCGCUGGAGAGACCGUUUUGUCUUUUGUGCCGAAGCUACUUAUAAAUCACAGGCCGAAACCGGUGAAAUCAAGGGGCAUUACUUGAAUGCGACUGCGGGUACAUGUGAAGAAAUGAUUAAGAGAGCUGUAUUUGCAAGAGAAUUAGGGGUUCCUAUUGUAAUGCAUGACUACUUAACCGGGGGAUUCACCGCAAAUACUACUUUGGCUCAUUAUUGCCGCGACAAUGGCCUACUUCUUCACAUUCACCGUGCAAUGCAUGCAGUUAUUGAUAGACAGAAAAAUCAUGGUAUGCAUUUCCGUGUAUUAGCUAAAGCAUUGCGUAUGUCUGGGGGAGAUCAUAUCCACUCCGAUACAGUAGUAGGUAAGUUAGAAGGGGAACGCGAAAUGACUUUAGGUUUUGUUGAUUUAUUGCGCGAUGAUUUUAUUGAAAAAGAUCGUGCUCGUGGUAUCUUUUUCACUCAGGACUGGGUAUCCAUGCCAGGUGUUAUACCGGUAGCUUCAGGUGGUAUUCAUGUUUGGCAUAUGCCAGCUCUGACCGAAAUCUUUGGGGAUUA